This 50639-nucleotide long non-coding RNA is filed under the name Lactuca sativa (garden lettuce). RNAcentral's name for it is "long non-coding RNA (LSAT_LNC007452)". The record is from RNAcentral. Lineage: Eukaryota; Viridiplantae; Streptophyta; Magnoliopsida; Asterales; Asteraceae.
UUGAAUAUCUCCCAAAAGAUGUCUGGUUUAGACACCUAUGAUCUUCCCAAAUCUCUUGAAACAAGGUUUCCUAAUGAAGAUGAUGUCCCAUGGAUAUCAUACUUCUUCACCUCUUCAAAUUAUUCUCCCUAACCCACAAGUUCUUGAAAAGUUUAAGGUCACUCAGGCCCUUUUGGCAAGGCAAGGUCUAGGUGUGGUCACAUCUUGGAGAUGUAGUCACAUAUUGACAAGCCGGGAGAGUUGGGUGUCAAAGUCUUGAGAAAGUUGGUGGUUCAACUACUUUCUAAGUCACAUAGUGAGUUCUUUUGGAACACCUAUGAAAAAGACUAUGACAAGACCCUUAAUGAUCUUAUCUAUUUGUUAAGAUCAACUUCCUAAAACUUUAUGGACAUUGACAAUGAUGACAUUGGAUAUCCAGUAAAGCAUUCUCUUCCCAAUGGAAAGGGAUCGGCUAUAGUCAACUCGGUUGACCAAAUGGUAAAGAGAAAAGCUAAGUCUGUGAUAGUCCUGUGUACCAUUAUCAAAGGGUCCAUAUGUUUGUAUUGCCAAAGAAAGGGCAUUGGUUGCGAAGCUGCCAAAUUUACCUAAGGAUGUUAAAGUCAAUAAGUUUGACUCUACUUCAGGUAAAAUCCACUAUCUAACUCUGUUAAGUUUCUAUUCUGAGAUUCUUGAUACAUGAUGUGACCGGGUCGCAUGGUGAUGGUUUAAGAAUCAAAGGAAAGUGAAGAAACUUAAAGGAAGAAUAUGCUGAAUCUGAUCGCAUAGAUGGAUUUCUAUCGCAUAGUUUGAAAAAUCGGAUUCUUGAGCUACUUCUUAGGAGUUAUGAGAUAUUGCUUAGGAAUAGAUAACAACAAGUUUUCAUAUGGAUUGUAAGGAUAGUUUUUCCGCAAAGUUUUAAAAUAAAAGGAAAUUUUUGAUUUUAUUUAUUUUAAAAUAUCCUUACAAUGGCAUCUGUGGAAAUUUUUGUUGCUUAUAAGAUUCCAUUAGUAGCAAGAGUGGAAGUAUGAAAUUGAUUCUUUCAUUUGUGGUAAUGUCUAAAUUUACCAAAUAAGGAAAGAUUCUCAUCACCCAAGUUUCAAUUGGACCGGAACUUGGAAUCAUGCAAGUUGUAUAGCAUGAUGAAUGAGAACUUUCAAGUUUUGGAAAAUUAAGACUAAUUACUUGUUCACAUGGAUGUGUGAGUCAAGUAAAGGACUUAGGGAUCGAGUACACAUUCUUGUGCACUGAUUAAGUCCACCACUAAAGAUCGAUAAGAAGAAUCAAAUAAGGCAGAAGGAUAAAAGUUUCUCAAAUCUGAAAAGAUGGGAGAGUACUUUAGUAUCAGUUUUGUGAUCAUCUUAAUGAUUAAGAAACCAUAUCAAAAUUAGUUCUCUAAGGAAAUCUUAGUGCAUUCUUAUGACUAAGAAGAGGAACUUGAAUUGUUGAAAUGGUUAAAUCAAGAAGAUGAGUCAUACUUCGUUCCAAUACAAGUCUUAGAGUCAUACUCCAAGAUUGUCAUUUGAGUGACAUGUCUUAAAGAAGGUUUAAAACACUUGUCAAAUGUAAGAGUAAAAGUUUUCUACUCUUGUACAUUUGAAAUUGGUAAGUUGUGAUGUUUUGGAUAAAACAAAGACCAACUUAGGCCAAUUGGGUAAAGUGUUUUUCUUGAUUAGAAUCCGCACUAUCUCUUGGAUGUUUGACAAGGGAGUCUUAUAUGUCAAGAGGACAGUGGGAGUCUUAAAGGUCUUGAAAGUCUCAAGAACUAAUCAAGAAUAAAACCUAAAGUUCUUCACUAGCACACAACUUGAGGUUCAUAACCUAUCGUGUUGACAUAUUCUGUGCCCAUUCCAGUUAAAGUUGGCUUUGCAUAUGAGUUCUUAGAGUUCUCAAUUUGUUGCACAACAACUUGGAAGCAAUGGUAGGCCCUUGAGCUGCCAGGUGGCAAGAAAUUAAGAUUGAGUUCAGUCCAUAUGAGUUUGGAUUUGUCAUUAUCCUUGUCUUGUGACUAUGGUUUUGACAAUUCACAUGGAUAAGAACACAUACACCAUUAAAUCUAAGUGUCAUAAGGUUUCUCUCCGAUUCAUGAAAAUGAUGGUGAGGAAACACUUUCACUAAGUAGAUUUUAGCUAGAUAGCAAUUGUGAUAUUUGCAUUCUCAAAGUCGUUAGUGGAGCGCGUGUGGUUAACCGGCACACUAAUUUGGACUUGUGAGAAGUGGCAAAAAGGUCUAAACAUUAUGAUUACGGCAUCCCUCUUCAUAAUUGUUUAGAUACACAAGUGUGCUAUCUAAGGGAAGGUGUAUGAUUUUGAUACAGCUUUAUCAAAACAAUCUAGCAUCAGAAAUCUGAACUUUGGUAAGAAAGUCAAUGAAGUAUUGAUUUCUAGAAGUCCAGCUGAUUUCUGAGUACAUGUCAAAGCUAGUGGGAGCAUAAGUGUUAUGCUAAUAAUCAUCAUGUUAGUGGGAGCAUGAUAAUUAUGAUAAGUAUUGCAAGUUAGCAAUGUUAAUUAUAGAAAACAAAAGUUUCAAUUGGGAAAAAGUUGUUUUGCUAUAAUUAAGGGAGAGGAAAUUAUACUUCAUCUCAAAUCUAUAAGCUUAGAUCGUGAGGUUUUAAUCAUUUAGUCAAGGAUAUAUAUGAAUUUCAUGUUGGAAUGGCUCAACAUAAGGAAAUUCUGUAUAUGGGUCCAUUAUUUGCGUUCUAAAAUUCGAUUAUGAUUACGGCAUCCCUUUUCAUAAUCUGAAUUAUGAGAACUUGGCAAAUUGAAAUGGAAAUAUUAUAGCAAAAGACUGGUUUAGUCUUUAUGUAAGACAUCAUGAAUCGUGUCCCAUAUGCUUCGGAUAUAGGAUCGAUUACAUGUGCUAUAUUCAUCCGUUCUAAAAUUUUCCAAAUGCCUGGGGCAUUAAGAAGGGAAAAGGUUUAGAACUGGAUAUGACUAAAAGGAUUAAACAAUUGUCGAGGACAAUCUAAGGUUUACCAAAGAUUGGUUGCUCAAGGACAGUUGGAAGUAUAGUGAUAAUUCUGGAAGGACCAUAUUGACAUAAUCUGUAAGGAGGCAACUCUUGUUCAGAAGUGAUAGUCAAAAUGGAAUCUGGAAAUGUUUCAAAGUUAGAAUUUUCAAUCUGUUUAAGAUUAGGAAACUUAAUGCAAGAAGGAUGUUUCCAAGGAGCUGAUCUCCUUUGGAAUACUCUGUAAUGAUUGUUGUCAAGUCUUUCUGACUUUGUGCAUAAUCAUUACAAGAGGAUCAAUGCAUAUAAGUUUAGAAUCUAACAGAUUUCAGUAAAUGGCAUGAAUUUGGAAUUCUUGCAUUUGCAGUAAGGAUUUGGGAGUGUGAAAAGAGAAUCAUUGAAGUUAUGUUCAAUUGAUCUAGUUCACAAAGUAAAGAUCAUAGACAAACAUAGUAUGCAUACUUGGUGUGUGGCAUGACUAGUGUUUAAGAAAACAUAGUGUACAUGCUUGGAGCAUGGGACAACUAUUGUUUUAAAUUCAAGAAUAAAGUUGAUAGCUGAAACAGUAUACAAUGAAUAAUGUGUAAUCAUAUGGUGAUAAAUAAAAGGUGUUUUAUUUAUGUUCAAAGUUUUGAUACCAUAUUGGAUUCAAUUAUUAUUGUGUUUCACUUUGCAUGUUUUGACUUCCCGAAUAAACUAGGUUAUUCUUCCGGAAUGACUAAGUUAUUCAAACCAUCCACAGUCGGUCAUAUGUUGGAAGUAGAUAUGAAUUAAGACUGUCAUGGGUUGGCUUGUAGAGGUCUAAGGUGUUGGACAAAGGGCUACAACACUCAUGAGUGCUCAUAAGUUCUGAGUAUUGGAUUCAACCCGCGCUCAUUGGAAUCACUUCAUGGAUUUUAUCACGAGUGAUCAUGAGACGAUAAUAUCUUAUAUUCUUCAAACCUAGAGAUAUGAGUUGUUACUAUGAGUUGAUAGUACAUUGAUUGCACGAAAACGCAUUUGGUAACUCGGUGCUAUAAAACGUGCCUUUGUGUAUGAUUCAACAAGUAGUAGAACAAGCCAUAUGAGUCGAAGUUUAUCCAUUCCUUUUACCUUCGGGAUAAAAGCGAUAUCUGUGGGCCCCUCGAUGAUUUGAUGAUGACAAAUGGAAGUGCUCGGCCGGGCCAGGACUGAUUUGAUUUGUUCAAUUAGUCAGUCGUCAUAAAUCGGAAAUCGGGAAACAACAAAUGGACAGAGAGAAUGAUUAUAAUCCAUGUCUCAGUCCAUAUGAUAUCUAGAAUGGAGGAAUAUAUGAUCCCUUAUCUAAUGGACAAGUCAUUGACAAAGGUCAGAGUUCAUCUACAAGGUCAGAGUUCGACAGAAGCUUUUGAGAGCUACGAUUGCCAGUUGGUUCCUGAAGUCAUACGCAAUAAUAGUUUUAGACUUAUCCAAGUGGGAGACUGUUGGAUUAAUGUCUAAGUCCAUAACUAUAAUUGGUAAGACUUGACCCGACCCGACAUGGUCCAUUUGGGUUGCAUGGCAUCAUGCACUUGGAUAGACUAUAAUGAGAGAAAUAAGACACUUAUGGUUAUUAAUAUAUUAUAAGUUCUAGUAUAUUAAUAAUAAGAAUAAUAAGAUUAUUUAAUUAGUAUUGAUCAAGAAUUAAUCUAGGAUUAAUUAAGUGAUCAAAAGAAGACUAAUUAAAUAUAUUGGUUGAUUGUGUAAAUCAUCCAUACUUGUAUAGUGGGCUAAUGCUCCAUGGAUAAUCAAGUUGGGCUAAAACCCAUAGGAUGGUCCAUGGUGUAUUUGAACCCAUGAAUCCAAGGAAAUGGAAAGUCAUGACAAUUAGGGUUUAACCUAAUUGUAACACUAUAUAAAGAUCUUAUUCUUGACAAAAUCGGCCACUAGAGUGAGUAAUAGAAGGGCUAGCCGAUUUCAUGAAGUGUAGAUUUCUCUCAAGUUAUUCCUAGUGUAUUUGGUGUUGUGUGAACCAUUUGAGGUGUCACACUUGGGGCACUAGGCACUCAAGCUUCAUGAAGGCUUUCUACAUCAAAGAGGUAUGUAUUCUAUCUUGUUACACUCAUUGUUUUGUAUGCUAGAUUAGGAUAAUACCUUGGAAGUUCUUAUUUGCAUGUACACUUAGGAGUGUUAGAAUGCUCAUAACCCAACAUAUAAUACAAGAGAAAGUACUAAUCCGAAGAUAACACACUAACUCAGUAUGAGAUACUCUAUUCGCUACACACUAGGCCCAGAGUUUUCCGACAGGAGAACGACGCUACAUGUAUAGAUCUAUACGGGGCAGACACUAUUACAUCCCGACUGUUAAUUUCAGUCCGAGCUGUGCAGGCCCAGGGAUGCCCUACUUCACUACAUUGUGCAUGACCGGGAAGGUCAUGGGGUCCUCUAUUAUUCACACUAUCGGUAGCAUACAAGGAAUACACUAUAACCACACUAAAAUACUAAACUAAAGGCUAAGUUAACAUCCCGAAGUAAACAAGUAUCUAACACUAAAGGAAGUUUGCACCUCUAUUACUGACUACAGGCAUAACCUAUUUUAAUACCUUACUUAUUGGAGAUUCUCUAAUAUACAUUUACACUAAACGAUUUUCAAAGAUGAAAAUUUCAUGUUUUCUUAAAGGUUUUCACUUACAAUGUAUUUCCUGGAAAAUAUAGGAUUUUCUAGGGUUUUCUACUACUUAUGAAUGUAAAAGCUUUUCAUACUAUCAGUUCUAAUGCCUUUUAUACAAAACUCACGCUAAACUCUUAUGAACUCACCAGCUUUAUGCUGAUAAUCUGUUUCAAAAUAACUUGUAUCCUCAGGUCAAAGAUAGACAGGUAUAGGUGCAGCAUUUUGGAGAAGGUGGGGCAUACAAGAUCCAUCUCUUAUUUUUGUAUUACUUUUGGUGUUUGUUGAACAUUACAAAACACACUUGUAAUUAAACUCACUAUGUAAUGCAAUGGUUGUAUGUUUCUUGUUUUUACUAUUAUGCAAUUGUGAUGAUACUGUACAUGACGUCCUCCACCCCGAAACGUAUUCUGCCGUUAUCAGUUUUGGGGUGUGACAAUAUGGUAUCAAGCCCACCUGUUGUCUUGGGUAGCUUGGUUAUGAAAUCCAUAGUAAUUCGCUCCCACUUCCAUUCAGGUAUCUCAGGUUGCUGAGAAGACCUGAUGGCUUCUAGUAUUCGACCUUGACCUUUGCGCAAGUAAGGCAUUUACUUACGAAGGUAGCAAUCUUUGUUUUCAUGUUAGGCCACCAGUAUGACUUUUUAAGAUCCAGAUACAUUUUAUCUAAUCCUAGGUGGACGGAGUAUCGAGUAUGGUGGGCUUCCUUCAUGACCAAGUCUCUGAAGCCACCGUGACGCGGUGUCCAGAUUCGGUCCAUAAGAUAUAAGGCUCCGUCACCCUUGACUUCCAAGUUCUUAUCCAUUCCUCGCAGGGAUUCUCCGGCCACAUUUUCAGGCUUCAACGCUUCGAGCUGAGCUUCCUUGAUCUGCGUGGGGAGAUGCGAAUGGAUAGUCAUCAUUAACGACUUGACUCUGCGACCAGAAUGUUCCUUCCGGCUUAGGGCGUCUGCUACUACAUUGGCUUUACCCAGAUGAUAACGAAUUUCGCAUUCGUAACCAUUAAGUAGCUCGACCCACCGUCAUUGUCUCAUAUUGAGCUCCUUCUGGUUGAAUAUGUGUUGUAGGCUUUUGUGCUCAGUGUAUAUCGUGCUCUUUGUUCCAUAUAGGUAAUGUCUCCAGAUCUUUAGAGCGAAUACAACCGCUCCUAACUCGAGGUCGUGCAUGGUGUAGUCAAUCUCAUGUGCCUUCAGUUGUCUUGAGGCAUAGGCGAUGACCUUACCUCGUUGCAUCAGGACACAACCGAGCCACCGGUUUGAUGCAUCGCAGUAUACCACGAAGUCUUAUGUCCCUUCGGGAAGGGAUAAUAUCGGUGCGGUGCAUAGGGCUCGCUUCAGGGUUUGGAAUGCCAUCUCCUGUGUCUCUCUCCAGUCAAAUGUCACGCCUUUCUGAGUCAAUGUGGUGAGAGGUUUCGCAAUCCGAGAGAAGUUCUAAAUGAAUCUGCAGUAGUAGCCAGCGAGGCCUAGAAAUUGACGAAUUUCUGUAGGCGUCUUUGGUGCUGACCAGUUCUCGAUAGCUUUAAUCUUGGAUGGAUCCACGUGGAUUCCUUCCUCGCUAACCACGUGUCCUAAGAAUUCCACUCUUCGGAUCCAAAAUUCGCACUUAGAGAACUUUGCAUAUAACUUCUCUAAUCGUAGGGUUUCUAGGACUUGCUGUAAGUGAUCGCUAUGCUUCUCCUUGCUUCGAGAGUAGAUGAGUAUGUCAUCAAUGAAGACAAUGACGAAUUGAUCUAAGUAAGGACGACACACCCUAUUCAUUAAAUCAAUGAAUACUGCGGGCGCGUUGGUCAAUCCGAACGACAUUUCUACAAACUCGUAGUGUCCGUAAAAAGUUCAGAAGGUUGUUUUCAGAACAUCUUCCUCAAGCAAUCGUAACUGGUGGUACCCGGACCUAAGAUCAAUCUUGGAAAAGUAACUCGCCCCUUGCAGUUGGUUAAAUAGGNAUUCAUUAAAUCAAUGAAUACUGCGGGCGCGUUGGUCAAUCCGAACGACAUUUCUACAAACUCGUAGUGUCCGUAAAAAGUUCAGAAGGUUGUUUUCAGAACAUCUUCCUCAAGCAAUCGUAACUGGUGGUACCCGGACCUAAGAUCAAUCUUGGAAAAGUAACUCGCCCCUUGCAGUUGGUUGAAUAGGUCGUCUAUACGGGGAAGAGGGUAGCGAUUUUUGACCGUCAGCUUGUUGAGUUCUCUAUAAUCGAUGCACAUACGGAAUGAUCCAUCCUUCUUCUUUAUGAACAAGACCGGUGCUCCCCAGGGUGAGAAUCUUGGUCUUAUAAAGCCCUUGCUGAGCGGCUCAUUAAGUUGACCAGACAAUUCUUGCAUCUCAGCAGGCGCUAGACGAUAGGGCAAUUUAGCUACGGGGGUAGCCCCUGGGAUUAGGUCGAUUCUGAACUCAACUUGAUGUUUGGGAGGUAAACCUGGGAGCUCCUCUGGAAAGACGUCGGGGAAAUCGCAUACGACGGGGAAGUCUUUUAGAUCUUUUGUUUUCUGGAUCAUGUCAACGACGUGUGCAAGGAACGCGCGAUAUUCCUUACGUAAGUACUUCUGGGCUUGAAUACUUGAGAUGAUACGAAGGCUCGUACUGGGUUUGUCUCCGUAGAUUAAUAGGGUUUCGCUAUUUGGUAGAUUUAGGCGGAUGGCUUUGUCGAAGCGUAGGAUAUCAGCGCGAUGGAGACUCAACCAGCCCAUGCCAACAAUGACAUCGAAACUCUUGAUCGAAACUGGUAUGAGGUCGAUUGGGAAUGAAUGAUCAUCUAACGUGAGGGUACAACCUAUGUAAAUUUCGUUAGAGCUUUCUGUCUUCCCGUUAGCCAUUUCUACGACGAAUGUUUCUUUUACUGGUUGUGGGGAUUGCUUAAGUGUUUAAAAUUUUGGUUUAUGAAGCUUCUUUCUGCACCACUAUCGAAUAAGACACAAGCAUAAGAGUUGUUGAGAAGGAACGUACCCGUGACUACUGCGGGGUCCGCCACCGCUUCAUUGUGGCCAAUAGUGAGUAGUCUUCAUGUUCCUCCCGUAUUCCUGGCCUUCGGACAGUUUUUCUUGAAAUGACCUACCUCUCCAUAGCCAUAACAGGCCUGGCUCACUCCCGAGCUGGGGACUUGAGAGAUAGGUUUAGGUUGGGAUCUGCAAAACCGGACGGUAUGGCCCUUCCGGUCGCAGUUGGUGCAGUGCAAUUCACGGCAGCGGCCGUUGUGAUGGAAGGGGCACUUGGGACACUUGGGCAGGUUUCGAACAUAGGUUUUUGUUGGUACCGGGGUAGCAGGAGUGGUGGCAGCAUGGACAGCCACGAUUUGUUGGUCUUUGGAGGGGGUUUGACUUUUCUUGCCCUUCUUCUGAUUCCAGCGCUUCCUCUUUUUUUCAGUUGAUUUGGGUGGUGCAGUGGUAGUCGUCGUGGUUGUUGAUGGGGUGGAAGGGUCUUCAUGAUCAAUCAACCUUUGGGCCAAUUCCUUGGUGUUGUCAAAGGUGCAGGGCGUGAGGCUAGAACGUUUCCUCGAUAUGGGGGCAUUAAACCCCAAAUGUUUCAUUCAAUCUUCUUACUCUCCGAAGGGAUCAUGUUAGGACACAUAGCUGCCAGGUCGCAGAACCUGGCUGUAUAAGUUGUUAUGUCGGUCCCUUUCAUCUUGAGGUUCCAAAGUUCCUCCUCAAGCUUUUGAAUUUCACCCCUAGGGCAGUACUCCCUUCUCAAAAGGUCCUUCAGCGUGUCCCAACCCAUGGUGUUGGUUGUUACUAAAGUGAGUGAAUUGACAUGGCCGUUGCACCAUGUCAGAGCCCUUUCGGUGAAGGUGGCAGCAGCGAACUUUAUUUUGCUCUCCUCGGGGCAUGAGCACAUUUCAAAGACUGCUUCCGUUCUUUCGAACCACUGAGACAAUGCAAGUAUUCUUCCGGUCCGAUUGAAGAAAGUGGGUUUACAGUUCAUGAAGUCCUUAUAAGUACACCCCUGUGCACGUGGAUGGAUUUCACCAUGUUUGGAGUUGGUGCCCAUUCCGGCUCCACUAGCAUCGCCAGAAUUCAUUUGGGCCAUGGCUGCUAUCACAGUUGUUUGAAACAACACUGGAUCGAACUGCAGAGGAGGUGGAGGUUGAGCCGCAGGUCUGCCUCUGCUCGGACGCUUAUGGGGAGGCAUCUUUUACUGAAAGUUCAUAGAGAUGAUGACAAUAGUAAGAGUCUAUUAUAAGUAUGAUAAGAGUGUUUCAUGGACUAAAUCAACAUAGCCCAAAAAUCAGAGAGUGUCAUAGCAACAGAGUAGUUCACUGCCAAUUUUACUGGUAUUAAUGAUGUAAUAUAAGUUCGAGAAAAGUGACCUAACAGUAGGUCUUAGAUCAAACCAUAAGGGAAAAUGUUGGCAGUCUAGAGGCCUAAUUAGAGUACUUUCAAAGUUAGAAAUAUUUACAGACAAGUUCUCGGCCAAGCAUAGAGAGGAAAAAGGCUAGUCCUUAAACAAAAGAUGGAGAAAAGUGGACAUCUUCUACUGGCGACGGGUAUCCCUUGGGCGAACCCUAAGAUCAGCCAGUUGGCGCACAACUUCUUGAAGAUGUCUUUCUUGUGCUCUCUGACGCGCCCGGAGUUCCAUGACUUCGGCUCGGGAUACAGCUAGCUGUUGCUGCAGAGUCUCAUUGGUCCUUCUCGUCCUAUCCAUAGCUUCUUCCAGUUGGCGGAUGCGAACAGUGUUGAGGUUAGAGUUGGCAUCAACUUCCACAACUCGGCCAAUAGCUGCUUGACCUUGCUCAACGUUCCUGGCAAUCCUUCAGACCAUGAUGGGCAAGACUCAGUCUGCUGAACCUCCCUCGCUUAUGUUGUAGAAGCUUCGGUCUCCAUUGAAAGGUAAAGGCUGACCCUGCUCAUCGCUCCAUUGGUUCAAGGUUAUUGCCAACAUGGGGGUGGGACCUUGUAAUGCCGGACGGGGGUUAGGGUUUGGAGCUACUGGGGGCAGGUUGUUGACUUCUAGCUCGGAGUCGGAGCUAUCCGAAAAGCCUUCAACACGGUGAUCAUCCAACAGGAUCGGGUGAUCAUCUUCUGAUUCCUCAUCGAGCCAUCCUCCAUUGCCUUGGUUCGGAUAAUACGGAUCGCUGGGAAGGUGGAAGCCAGCCAUGCUAUCUACGCGAGAAUGGGGAAAGGAAGGUUAAUAGACGUACUAAUCUAAGAUACUUAUAAGAUGAUCGUUAUUAGUCGACCCAAUACUUGCAUAGUGCAUACCAAUUACAUGUAACCGAAGCAAGAUAGUCCUUCGAAUAAGCGACCCUAACUCCAGAUCCCCAAUCAAACAAGAACAGGAAAUGAAGCAAAGGUCACAGAUUCUAAGUCUAUAGCGCCCUAGUCACAUGUAACCAUGGUGUAUGCACUUAGAAACUAUUGCCCUACUAGUAACGACCCUUUUUGUUAUCACAAAUGUAGUUAGUAGAAUACAGAAUACUCCUAUAGUAUUCUUGUUCUAAUGUUCUGGUGGUAGUGGUGUAAGUUUCUAGAGUUGUUGCAACACCACAACCACUCUUAGGCACAUGCUAGUCACUCCUAGAAAGAUGUAGUUGACCAGGCUACAUCCACCCAGAUACGACUAUAUGUCUCUAAGCUUAAUCGUGUUGUUCAACAAUCUUAAUACUUUUGUUAUGUUCUAGUAUAAUACUGACCCUUUGUAUUUGUGAAUAUAUAUAUAUAUAUAUAUAUAUAUAUAUAUAUAUANAUAUUUUAGUAUUUAAAAGUAUAUAUUCUUGGUUAGAGUGUUUUAGUCCCGAAGUGUUUAUAGUUCGUAUAUCUUUUAUGGGUUGAUAUACUUGAUUCACUAUAAACAAUGCUCUGAUACCAAUCUGUCACACCCCAAAACCGAGAACGGCGGAAUACGUUCUGGGGUGGAGGACGUCAUAUACAGUAUUAUAACAAUUGCAUAAUAGUAAAAACAAGCGACAACAACCAUUGUAUUAAAUAUAGUAAAUUUAAUUACAAGCAUGUUCUGUAUAUUUUUGAUAGACACCAAAAGUAUAAAAAAAUAAAAGAUGAGUCUUGUAUACGCUCCAUCUUCUCAAAAGCUGCACCAGUACCUGUCUAUAUUUGACCUGAGGAUAAAAGUUAUUUUGAAAACGUGUAUCAACAUAAAGCUAGUGAGUUCAUAAGAAUUUAGUGCGUUGCUUGUAUAAAAGUGUUUACAAUCAUGUAAUAUGAAAGCUGUAAUUAAUGUUUAAGAAUAAUAGAAAUCUCUAGAAAAUCCUAUUUUUUCCAAAAUUGAGCAUUUGUAAGUUAAAUCCUUCGAGUGUGUAAAAGUAUUUCCAUUGAAACCUUCAGUUAUAAAAAUAAGGUAAUAAAUUUCAUUCAAGUAUCGUAAAUAAGGAAAAGCAUUGCCGGUUGGCUGUAGUAGUGUUGCAAACUUCAAUAGUAAUAUUGUUUAUUUANUUUACUUCGGGAAGUUAGCUCAGACUUUAAGUCUUAGUGUGUUAAUUUGGAUAUGGAUGUGAUCUCUCAUGUAACCAAACUGAAUGAUAAUAGAGGGUCCGAUUACCUUCCCGGUCAUACGUAGUGUAGCGAUGUAGUGCCAUCCCUGGGCCUAGUCGGCUCGGGCUGUAGUUAACAGUCGGGAUGUAAUAGCAACCGUCCUGUAUAGAUCUAUACAUGUAGUGUUGCUUUCCUUUCGGGAAGCUCUGGUUACAUGGUAUUUGCGUACUAGUGUGCCGUAUAGAGGGAUAGUGUGUUAUAUUCUGGAUUAGUGUAUUCUCUGGUAUUAUAGUAUAGUAACUUUUAGUAUAGUGUAUAGAGUUUACUCUUUAACAUGCAUUAACUUGUAGUAGUAGUAUUUAUAGUGGAUAUCAUAGUAAUAGAGGUAACGAGCAGUAGUCUUAACUAUACCUAUUAGAGUUAAAUAGUGUGUGGGAUUGCAAGCCUUUGAUUCACAAAGGUAUUAAAUAAGAUGAAGACUUUCAUAUCUAACACAAAUAUAUAUGAUAUAUAACUAAGAAUUCAACGACAGUCGGACGGAUAGCAGAAUACCCUAAGACCAUAAUCAAACAAGAACAGGAAAUAAGGCGAGUUAUCGGUCCUAAGUCCUUCAAGUCUUACUUAUAUAAAUAUAUUGGUGUAGAUAUAGUUUAAAAGAAAAGUAAUUUAAAAGCAGUUUGAAAAUAAUUUGAUGACAAUUUAACAUAGAAAAUGCGUUUGAUGGUGAUUUAAAACAGUUUUAUUGACAAGUAGCCAAAAGUAAUAAAAAUCCUUUUUGGUUUCAAGUUAUAAAUCACAUAUGAUUUGAUACUAAAACUUGUUGCAUUUAACUUGUAUCCCCCCACCUAAAACAUGUAAAAACAUUUAAAAAGGUUAAUAAGGGGUAUNGGUAUGAACUCACUUGUAGCGAGUAGAUCGGGUGGAAGUGUCGGAUGAGCGUUUGGUGUCAAGUAAAGACUUGAACACACUCUACGACCCUAGCAACAUAUGAAGACAUAUGUUUACAAGUAAUUAGUGAUUAAGACACUAAUUAAACACAUAUAGACUUCCUAAUGCGAAGAAUAACUCUUUGCUCAAGUGCUAGGAGGCUAUUAGGUUGCAGUGGAAGAGUAUAAGGCCUCACCAUGGAGUUUACUCUUCUAAUACUCACCUUAGGUGAGUUUACGGCUGAGGGACCAUUUCCCCCAUGAGUUUACAGCUGUAAACGCAUGGGAGGAGUGGGUUUGAGUGCUUAAAGGUUUCUUAUAUCACUAGGGAUAGUUCUAGGGCUUAAUCCGAGGAUUGAAGGGGUGUUUAGGGUUAAAAGAGGGCACUCCCUUGGAGUUUGCAGUCCUAGGACCACUCCUUGGGAGUUUACGGUCGUGAACCCCAUGGUUUACGGCCGUGAACUCUUUGAUACCCCUCAUACUUCGAUUUUGAGGUCCUUAGCUCAUUCCUAAAAGUUUUUAAGUGAAGGUCCAAGGCUAAAUAGGGGGGUUUAGGGCUUAAUUUGCAUAGUUUGAGGGAGUUUACGGCCUAAGAAUGUUCUUGGGCCGUAAAACCUCUUUCAAGCCUCCAAACUUGGUGAUUAAUGUCUAGAACACUUCAAGAUUAAGUUCUAAGCUAGUUUCUAAGCCUAAGGAAGAGAUUUGGGGCAUUUUUGGCACACUUUUAGGGGUUUACGGCCUAAGAGUGUUCUUGGGCCGUAAACUCCUUAUUCUUGGCCUUCUUGAACGAUUUUCAAGGUAUAUCGACAUGUAAUGAGUUUUAGAACAAUCUAGGGUGAGAGAACUUACAGUUUGGAAGCGGAAACUUGCGGUUUUUGGAUGGAUCGGGCCUUGAGGAGAGAGACUAGAGAGAGAGUGUGUGACUAGGGUGGUAAAAGGUCCAAAUGAUGUCUACUCACCCUUAUAUAGGGGUUGGGUUUGUGGCCAUGUGGGAAUCUACCCGAUAUUGAAAUUAAACGGGGUUUAAAGUUCUACCCAACUAAAUGGCCGUAACACGGCUUAGUCGUAAACUAAAAUUUUCUCAAAUAAAUCCGAGGUGUUACGUGUGUUUUUAUUUCGUUUCAAUAAAGUAAAAACAUUAAUUUAUAUUUCUAACCCAAAUAUUAACAGAAAUAAUAACAAUAAAUAUUAUUUUAUUAGCGUAACUGGGUUACAACGAACGGAAUAAAUUUCGGGUUGUCACAAUAGCUCACAAUAAAUGUUAAUAGACAAAUGGCUUUGUUUAUAUACUUUAAAAUACAUGUUUGUGAUGUUUAUUCUUUAUUGUUAUAAAAUGUUGUAUGUAUAUAAAUGUGUUUUCCAUGCUACAAACAUUUCACAAAAAUAACAUCAAGCAUGGGGUUUAGAGUUUUAAAUAAAAGUUUCAAACAUAAGAUGUCAGAAAUUGAGUUUUUGUUAAAAAGAGUUUUAAUUUUUUAGAACUUUUAAAUUGCCAAAAUUUUAAAUAUAUAAAAAUUUUUAAAAUGAUUUUUAAACUUAAUCCAAACUCCAAAACUCUAUAAUAAAAAGUUGUUUUAUUAAAAUGAUAAAAACCGGUUCCUAUCGUUAUAACAUCGAAUUAAAACUCAAUAUAAAAUUUAACCGGUAAAAUUGAAUGUAAAAUAAAUUCAACUUUAUAAAUUUGGGAACACUUUAAAUGUAUCAUGUAAUAUUUUAUGUGUGAAAUAUUGAUGAUACAAAAAGUUUUAAAACGCUAGAAUAUUAAUAUCGAUAAAAGCCCUUAUUUGAAAACUUCAAAUUUUUGCAUAUAUUGACUAUGUUAAAAUUCACUACGAGUCCUAAACACGAUCCAUAUAAUAUAUAUGUAUACUUAUUAAUGAAUAUAAUCAUAAGAAUGAUAGGGAAUCGAACUAAUUUGCAAGUCCUAAACACGGCCAGCUGGGUGUUCACGACCCAAGAACACUUGGUGUUCUUGAGUUUACGGCCCAAGUUGGGUGUUCACGGCCCAAGAACAGCUUGGUGCUCUUGAGUUAAUGGCCCAACAAUCUUGAUGAAUGAUGAAAACUUAAAGAUCCUAAGCAAGUUCCCUUGAAGAUUAAGGGAAGAAGGAUGAAAUUUGAGAGGGAAUUGAGAGUUUUCGGUUGAAGAUCUAGAGAGAAAAGAGUGUGUUUACGGUCAAAGAUGAAUAAAUGAGGAUAAAAUUAGUCUAAAUCAUAUAUAUAGGGAGGAGUGUGUGGCUCGAAGAGUUCACGGUCGAAAGAGUUCACGGACCGAAGAGUUCAGCGCCCGAAGAGGGUUCACGGCCUGAAGUCGUUUGCCGCCGAGUGUGCAGUUGCGAGGUUUGCGGUUCGGGCAAAGGUUCUCGGUUCCUAAGGUUUUCCCUCCUUAACACAUUACACUCUGAAUACAAAGUCCAUUCAUCUAUAACUUUUUAAUCUAACUAUUUUUAGGUAAUUAAAGAAAUAGAUUUGACAUUUGAUUGAUAUGUUUUGACUUUCGUUGACUAAGAUUGACUUUUACAAGAAUACAAUUUUCGGGUUGUCACAUAUUAUUCUAUCACUCUGCUCAUUUUAAUGGAUAAUAGUAACGUAUUAUGACGUUACUCUGCUCAAUAUUAAUGGAUAAUAGUAAAAUAUUAUGAUGUUUAAAUAUAAAGGGUACUAACUACAAGAUGAAUUCGGGCGUAACACUAACUCUACGGUAACGUCUAAGAGGUAAGGAUUCGUCAAUCGGUUCAAGCAGAGUUUCCUCCUCAGGUUGAGCUCCAGUGUUAGAGGUUCCUUCAUCGCUCGACUCUUGAAUCUCUUCAAGAUCAAUUCGCCUCCCACUUUCCCCUUGGCUUCUAAGUUCUCGCUCUCGGAAAACCCCUUUCCUCGCAACAAUGACAACAUUGUCAUUCGGUCUAUAGAAAAGAUAUCCAAAGGACUUCUGCGGGUAGCCGAUGGAAAUACAUCCCUCACUAUGAGGUUCGAGCUAGUGGUGAGUCUCUCAUCUUACAAAAGCCUCGCAACCCCAAACCUUGAUGUGUACCAACGAGGGAUUUUGUAAUACGAAAGAUAAGGAGUUCGUGAGUGGAUGUGGUUGAACCUAGAUGUAUUUCGAUCGUUCAUGUAAAGAAUAGAAGUAUGUUCUCGAGGGUUCGAACUACAUCCCUAUCAUGCAAUCCUAUUAAAGAGUAGAAGUAUGUUCGUAGAAUGAUCUCAAAACGUUUGUCAUCCAAACCGGGGGUACCAUUGGUUGGUGAAUAACAUGAUCCAACCUUUGAAAGCAAAUUGGGAAUGAUCCCUGAGCUAUAUUACCCUAGUCCAAUAACUUGACUAGAGUGGGUUUCAAAUAGACUCCAACGAUAGUAUGAUGAAAGUAUAUGAACAAAGAAUUCCACAGAAGUUAGCCGACUGUCAAUAUCAUUGAUACUCAUGACGUAAUAAGUUUGGGAAAAAAUGACCUUGGAGUAGGUCUUACAUCAUAUCCAGGGUAGAAAAGUUUUGGCCGCAUAAAGGCCUAACUAAAAGUACCUACAGUACAAGAUAGUUACAUAGAAAUAUGCCACAUAGGACAUAGUCAGGAAACGAUCCUUUGAAACAAAGGAAGAAAGUAAAGCAUCUCCUACUGGUGAUGGUCACCCCUAUGGUGAACCCUUAGUUCAACUAGUUGACAUUCCAUAUCAAGCAAGUGUCUUUCGUACACCCUCUAGCGUACUCGGAGCUCUAUGACUUCGGCUCAUGCUUCAUCUAGCGCUUGUAGUAGGGUCUCAUGGUCUCUAUCAGAUCUUUCAUGAGUGCGUUCAAGGCGAUUGGUGCGGAUGGUAUGCAUUAUUUCAUUGGCAUCAAACUCUGCGAUACGAUGGAGAGCUAUCCUGUCCUGAAUCUCAUUUCGGGAUACUCUACAGACCAGAACUGGUAGAAUUCUAUCUGCUGAGCUUCCUUCGCUUAUGUUGUAGAAGCUUCGGUCUCCAUUAAAUGACAUAGGUUGAUCUUGCUCUUCGCUCCAUGUCUCCAAACAUGCUACCCAAGGAGGCGUCGGACCAAGAAAAGUCGGAAGAGGGUUAGGAUUUGGAAUGGGAGCUUCCGGGGGUAGGUUCUCAACUUCAGGUUCGAAGUUAGCAUCAUCUGAAAGGUCUUUAGCAUGGUGAUCAUUCAAAGGGAUUGGAUGAUCAUCCUCUGGUUCUUCUCCAAACCAUCCAGCAUUGCCUUCGUUCAGAGGUACGGGUCGUUGUAGGGAUGGAGUCCACCCAUGUUAUCUACGCGAGAAUUGGGAUGAGGAAAUAAUUAUUAGUCAAACUAACUAAAUAAUUAUUAGAUAAUCUUCGUUAGUUACCUCCCUACUUGUAAAUUGCAUACCAGUUAUAUGUAAUCAAAACAGGAUAGGUUUUCGAAUAAGUGACCUUAACUCCAAAUUCACAAGGAACAGGGGUAAAACAAAAAUUCACAGAUUCUAAGUCUAUGACAUCCUAGUUACAUAUAACCUUAUUGUAUCCACUUAGCAACUGUUGACCUCAUAAUGAAGAUCUUUUUAGUUCUCAAGUAAGUAAUUAUAGUAACACAAAAUACUCCUAUAGUAUCUUAGACUUAUGUUAUGUUCUAAUGUUCUCAUUGUGGUAGUGUUGGUAAGUUUUAGACUUGUUGCCACAUCACAACCAUUCUUGGGCGUACGCUAAUUACUCCUCGGACCAGCAUAGUUGAUCAGGCUAUGCCACUCCCAAGACUGACCAUACAUCCACGAGCUUACUUGUGAUAUUCAAAAAUCGUAAUACUUUUGGUCUUGUCAUUGUGACACUGAUUUUAGUAUGAAUGCAAGUAUGUAUACUUAGUUAAAUAUUUUAUUAUUUAAAAGUAUAUACUCUUGGUCAGAGUAUUUUAAUCCCAUUGUAUUUAUAGUUAGUAUAUCUUUUAUGGGUUGAUAUACUUAAUUCACUAUAAACAAUGCUCUGAUACCAAUCUGUCACACCCCAAAACCAAGAACGACGGAAACGUUCUGGGGCGGACGACGUCAUGUAAAGUAUCACAACAAUGCAAAGUAGUAAACAAGCAACAACAUCAUCCAUUUCAUUAAUAGUAUAAUUUUAAUUACAAGUGUGUUCUUUCAUAGUAUAAAACAACAUAAUGAAUAAUCAAAAUAAAAGUCGGGUCUUGAAUUCUCAUGCCCAAGGGGUCCUUAUAUAAGUGUAGGAAUUAGGGUUUCAAUCAUUAUCGUUAACUGGUUACUUAGCCACCAAGCAGCCCAUAAGAUAACUCUAUAAUCCCCUUUAUGGACGAAUUCUUAAGGCCUUAUCCUUAGAAUUUGUCCACUCUAUCAUUUAGGGUUUCCUUGCUUAACCUUGUAACUAUCACAUAAUUACAAUUCAGUCCCCCUAGUUCAAUUACCUUCUUUUGAUCACAAAAUUAAUUCUUAAUUAAUUCUUGACCAAUGUUAGCUAAAUAAAUAUGAUUUCUCUUUUAAUAUAUUAUUCUUAUAAAAUAUUAAUAAAACAUAAUAACCUCUUUCUCUAUUAUUCAUCCAGUCAAGUGGCUUUGGUGAAGGUAACUUAAAAGGACCAUGCACAAUCGGGUCAAGUACAUACCAUAUAUAGUUAUGGACUUAGACACUAAUCCAACAGUCUCCCACUUGGAUAAGUCUAAUAACUACAAAUGCGAAUGUAACUUCUGGAUCCGAUUAGCAAUCGCAGUUCUCAAAACUCUUGAUCUUAUCAAUAACAUGUCCUUUAGAUAAUGGAUCGUAUGGUCCUCCGUUCUAGAUAUUGUGUGGACAAUUACAUGGAACAUAGUCAUACUUAUUGUCCACCAGUUUGUUUCUCGAUCUCUGAUUCGUCUUACAUAGAACUUAAUUGAACAUAUCAAUUCAGUCCUGACCAGGCCCGACAUAUAAGUCAAACUAAAUCAUCGAGGGCCCCAGAUAUCGCUUUUACCCUCUUAGGAUAAAAGGAACAGAUAAAGUUUGACUUAUAUGCAUUACCAUUCACUCAUCAAAUCAUACACAACAAUGCGUUUUAUAACAUCAAGUUACUGAUGCGUUUACGCAUUAUCAAUGCACAACCAAGUUGCAAAUAACAAACCAUAUAUCUAGGUUUUAAGACUAUAUAAUAUUAUCGUCUUGCGAUCUCUCGUGAUAAAUUCCAUGAAGUGAUACCAACAAGCGCAGGUCUAAUCCAAUGCUCAAAUCGUAUUCAUAAGCACUCGCGAACGUUGCAACAAACCUUUGCUAUGUCUAAUACACUUUAGACAAUCUACAAAGCAAUUCAUGACAAUAUUCUUUCAUACCUACUCCCAAAGUAUGAGCGACUGUGGAACGUUCUAAUAAUCUUAUUAUUCAGGAAGUCAAAACAUGCAAAUUGAAACAACAGGUAAACAAUUAACAUAAGACAGUAACUUUACUUAUAAAUAAUACUCCUUUAUUUAGUCAUCAAAUGUCAAUUACAUUUAUCUAUUACACGUUUCGAAGCUAUUUAAUCUAAACUAAUAUUGUCCUUCAGCCCGAUGCUCCUAGCGUGCUGCAAGUGCUUAACCCUAAUCAAUCCUUUCGUAAGGGGAUUUGUUGGGUUAUCCUCCGAUGAUACCCUCUUCACUACAAGGAGUCCUUCUUCCACCUGAUGUCGAAUAAAAUGAUAUAUCCUGUCGAUAUAUUGAGAUCUGCCAUGAUCCCUCGGUUCCUUGGUCAAGGUAACCGCUCCUUCAUUAUCACAGAAAAUUUCCAUAGGCUCCUUUAUAGUUGGCACAACUCCAAGGUAUCUGAUGAAGUUCUUCAACCAUAUCGCCACCUUUGACGCUUCACUCCCCGCUAUAUACUAUGAUUCGCAUGUUGAAUAAGCUAUAGUUUCUUGCUUGGAACUUUUCCAAGUCACUUCUCCUCCAUUUAGGGUAAAGACCUAGCCCGAUUGUGAACGGUAGUUGUCCCUGUCGGUCUGAAAAUUGUCGUCACUAUACCCUAGCACCCUUAAUUCAUCACUCCCACCGAGGACUAGAAACCAUUCCUUGGUCCUUUGAAGGUACUUAAGAAUAUUCUUGACUACGAUCCAUUGUGCUUUGCCAGGGUUCCCUUGAUAUCUACUGACCAUGCUCAAAGCAAAGGCAACAUCAGGGCUAUUACAAGUCAUAGCAUACAUGAUCGAGCCAACUGCAGAAGCGUAAGGUACUCAACUCAUCUCUACUAUCUCUACUUCGGUACUCGGACUUUGAAUCUUACUCAACUUGGCAUUACUUUGGAUUGGUAACCCCCCUUCUUAGAAUUAUCCAUACUAAAACGCUUUAGUACCUUGUCCAAGUAAGUAUUCUGACGAAGUCCUCUUAGUCUUUUACUUAUGUUUCUCACUAUCCAUAUUCCCAAAAUAUAGGCAGCCUCUCCGAGGUCCUUCAUAGUGAAACACUUCCCAAGCCAGGACUUGACUUCCUGCAGUGUUGGGAUGUCGUUUCCUAUGAGUAGUAUGUCAUCGACAUAUAAUACGAGGAAGCUAACAGUACUCCCACUGGCUUUGACAUAUACACAUGAUUCAUCCUUGCUUCGUAGAAAACCAAACUCUUUAACUUUCUCAUCGAAACAAAGAUUCCAUCUGCGAGAUGCUUGUUUCAAUCCAUAAAUGGACUUCUCAAGCUUACACACUCUAUUAGGAUGCUUUGCAUCGACAAAACCCUCUGGAUGACUCAUGUAAACAUCCUCAGCCAACUUCCCAUUAAGGAAAGUGGUUUUGACAUCCAUCUGCCAUAUCUCAUAAUCAUGAAAUGCAGCGAUGGCUAGCAUCACCCUAAUAGACGUUAUCUUCACAACCGAUGAGAAGGUCUCAUCAUAGUCAACUCCGGGAGUUUGAGUAAAGCCCUUCGCAACCAAUCGUGCCUUAUAGGUGUGUACGUUCCCAUCCAUGUCUGUUUUCUUCUUAAAUAUCCAUUUGCACCUGAUCGUCUUACGACCUAGCACAUUGUCAACCAAAUUCCAAACUUGGUUGUCAUACAUGGACUGAAUCUCGUUGUCCAUAGCCUCUAUCCAUUUUGUAGACUCCGGGACCGCUAUGGCUUCCUUGUAGCUAUUAGGUUCAUCCAAAUUUAUUAGUGUACUAUCACUAAUAAAUGUAUCACCCUCACUCAUUAUAUGAAACCCAUACAAUACGGGCGGAACACUAACUUUACUGUAACGUCUAAGAGGUAAGGAUUCGUCAAUCGGUUCAAGCAGAGUUUCCUCCUCGGGUUGAGCACCAGUGUUAGAGGCUCCUUCAUCGCUCGACUCUUGAAUCUCUUCAAGAUCAACUCGCCUCCCACUUUCCCCUUGGCUUCUGAGUUCUCGCUCUCGGAAAACCCCUUUCCUCGCAACAAUGACAACAUUGUCAUUCGGUCUAUAGAAAAGAUAUCCAAAGGACUUCUGCGGGUAGCCGAUGGAAAUACAUCCCUCACUAUGAGGUUCGAGCUAGUGGUGAGUCUCUCGUCUUACAAAAGCCUCGCAACCCCAAACCUAGAUGUGUACCAACGAGGGAUUUUGUAAUACGAAAGAUAAGGAGUUCGUGAGUGGAUGUGGUUGAACCUAGAUGUAUUUCGAUCAUUCAUGUAAAGAAUAGAAGUAUGUUCUCGAGGGUUCGACCUACAUCCCUAUCAUGCAAUCCUAUUAAAGAGUAGAAUUAUGUUCGUAGAAUGAUCUCAAAACGUUUGUCGUCCAAACCGGGGGUACCAUGGGUUGGUGAAUAACACGAUCCAACCUUUGAAAGCAGAUUGGGAAUGAUCCCUGAGCUAUAUUACCCUAGUCCAAUAACUUGACUAGAGUGGAUUUCAGAUAGACUCCAACGAUAGUAUGAUGAAAGUAUAUGAACAAAUAAUGCCACAGAAGUUAGCCGACUGUCAAUAUCAUUGAUACUCAUGACGUAAUAAGUUUGGGAAAAGAUGACCUNUACCAUCAUCUUCUCAGUUCCGAGAGACCUUGAAAGAGCUACGAUUGCCGGUCGGUUCCUGAAGUACUAGAGAUAUAGUUAUUAGACUUAUCCAAGUGGGAGACUGUUGGAUAAGGUGUCUAAGUCCAUAACUAUUUCGGGCUAGUACUUGACCCGACCCGGCAUGGUCCAUUUGGGUUGCAUGGCACCAUGCAAUUGGAUAGACUAAAUGAGAGAAAUAACACUUGGAGAUUAUUAAUAUAUUAUAAGUUCUAAUAUAUUAAUAAUAAUAUUUGAUUAGUUUGAUCAAUAAUUAAUUUAGAAUUAAUUAAGUGGUCAAAAGAGAACUAAUUAAAUAUAUGGGUUGAUUAUGUAAAUCAUCCAUAUCUUGUAUAGUGGGCUAAUAGGCUCCAUGGAUUAUCAAGUUGGGUUCUACCCAUAGGAUGUUCCAUGGAUGCUCCAUGGGAGUUACAAACCCAUGGGUCAUGGAAAUGAAGAGUCAUGACACAUUAGGGUUUACAUGGUGUAACCCUAGAUGUGUCAACACUAUAUAAGAAUCCCAUUCUCCACCAAAAUCGGCUACACAUAAGAAACAAGAGGGCUAGGCCGAUUUCAAGAAGUGUGUAUUCUCUCAAAAGUCUUUCCAAGAGCAUUUGGUGUUGUGUGAAGCAUUUGAGGCAUCACACUUGGGGUGCUAGGCUCACAAGGUUUCAAGGAACAUAAGCAACAACAAGGUAAGUUAUUCUAUCUUUCAUUCAAGUUAAAAUUGUUCCCCAUGUAUGCUAGAUAGGAAUAUAACCUUGGAAAUCCAACUUUGCAUGAUAAUUAGACAAACAUAGAUCCAAGGUUAUUAGGGUUGCAUGUACACUUAGGAAGUGUUAGAAUGCUCAAAUCCCAUCAAGGACAUAGUCAGGAAAACGAUCCUUUGAAACAAAGGAAGAAAGUAAAGCAUCUCCUACUGGUGACGGUCAUCCCUAUGGUGAACCCUUAGUUCAACUAGUUGACAUUCCAUAUCAAGCAGGUGUCUUUCGUACACCCUCUGGCGUACUCGGAGCUCUAUGACUUCGGCUCGUGCUUCAUCUAGUGCUUGUAGUAGGGUCUCAUGUUCUCUAUCAGAUCUUUCAUGAGUGUGUUCAAGGCGAUUGGUGCGGAUGGUAUGCAUUCUUUCAUGGGCAUCAACCUCUGCGAUACGAUGGAGAGCUAUCCUGCCCUGAAUCUCGUUUCGGGAUACUCUACGGACCAGAACUGGUAGAAUUCUGUCUGCUGAGCUUCCUUCGCUUAUGUUGUAGAAGCUUCAGUCUCCAUUAAACGACAUAGGUUGAUCUUGCUCUUCGCUCCAUGUCUCCAAACAUUCUACCCAAGGAGGCGUCAGACCAAGAAAAGUCGAACAAGGGUUAGGAUUUGGAAUUGGCGCUUCCGGGGGUAGGUUCUCAACUUCAGGUUCGAAGUUAGCAUCAUCUGAAAGGUCUUCAGCAUGGUGAUCAUUCAAAGGGAUUGGAUGAUCAUCCUCUGGUUCUUCUCCAAACCAUCCAGCAUUGCCUUCGUUCGGAGGUACGGGUCGUUGUAGGGAUGGAGUCCACCCAUGUUAUCUACGCGAGAAUUGGGGUGUUGAAAUAAUUAUUUUUUAAACUAACUAGAUAAUUAUUAGAUAAUCUUCAUUAGUUAACUCCCUACUUGUAAAUUGCAUACCAGUUAUAUGUAAUCAAAACAGGAUAGGUCUUCGAAUAAGUGACCUUAACUCCAAAUUCACAAGGAACAGGGGUAAAACAAAAAUUCACAGAUUCUAAGUCUAUGACAUCCUAGUUACAUAUAACCUUAUUGUAUCCACUUAGCAACUGUUGACCUCAUAAUGAAGAUCUUUUUAGUUCUCAAGUAAGUAAUUAUAGUAACACAAAAUACUCCUAUAGUAUCUUAGACUUAUGUUAUGUUCUAAUGUUCUCAUUGUGGUAGUGUUGGUAAGUUUUAGACUUGUUGCCACAUCACAACCAUUCUUGGGCAUACGCUAAUCACUCCUCGGACUAGCAUAGUUGAUCAGGCUAUGCCACUCCCAAGACUGACCAUACAUCCACGAGCUUACUUGUGAUAUUCAAAAAUCGUAAUACUUUUGGUCUUGUCAUUGUGACACUGAUUUUAGUAUGAAUGCAAGUAUGUAUACUUAGUUAAAUAUUUUAUUAUUUAAAAGUAUAUACUCUUGGUCAGAGUAUUUUAAUCCCAUUGUAUUUAUAGUUAGUAUAUCUUUUAUGGGUUGAUAUACUUAAUUCACUAUAAACAAUGCUCUGAUACCAAUCUGUCACACCCCAAAACCAAGAACGGCGGAAACGUUCUGGGGCGGACGACGUCAUGUAAAGUAUCACAACAAUGCAAAGUAGUAAACAAGCAACAACAUCAUCCAUUUCAUUAAUAUUAUAAUUUUAAUUACAAGUGUGUUCUUUCAUAGUAUAAAACAACAUAAUGAAUAAUCAAAAUAAAAGUCGGGUCUUGAAUUCUCAUGCCCAAGGGGUCCUUAUAUAAGUGUAGGAAUUAGGGUUUCAAUCAUUAUCGUUAACUGGUUACUUAGCCACCAAGCAGCCCAUAAGAUAACUCUAUAAUCCCCUUUAUGGACGAAUUCUUAAGGCCUUAUCCUUAGAAUUUGUCCACUCUAUCAUUUAGGGUUUCCUUGCUUAACCUUGUAACUAUCACAUAAUACAAUNUUAACCUUGUAACUAUCACAUAAUUACAAUUCAGUCCCCCUAGUUCAAUUACCUUCUUUUGAUCACAAAAUUAAUUCUUAAUUAAUUCUUGACCAAUGUUAGCUAAAUAAAUAUGAUUUAUCUUUUAAUAUAUUAUUCUUAUAAAAUAUUAAUAAAACAUAAUAACCUCUUUCUCUAUUAUUCAUCCAAUCAAGUGGCUUUGGUGAAGGCAACUUAAAAGGACCAUGCACAAUUGGGUCAAGUACAUACCAUAUAUAUUUAUGGACUAAGACACUAAUCCAACAGUCUCCCACUUGGAUAAGUCUAAUAACUACAAAUGCGAAUGUAACUUCUGGAUCUGAUUAGCAAUCACAGUUCUCAAAACUCUUGAUCUUAUCAAUAACAUGUCCUUUAGAUAAUGGAUCGUAGGGUCCUCCGUUCUAGAUAUUAUGUGGACAAUUACAUGGAACAUAGUCAUACUUAUUGUCCACCAGUUUGUUUCUCGAUCUCUGAUUCGUCUUACAUAGAACUUAAUUGAACAUAUCAAUUCAGUCCUGACCAGGCCCGACAUAUAAGUCAAACUAAAUCAUCGAGGGCCCCAGAUAUCGCUUUUACCCUCUUAGGAUAAAAGGAACAGAUAAACUUCGACUUAUAUGCAUUACCAUUCACUCAUCAAAUCAUACACAACAAUGCGUUUUAUAACAUCAAGUUACUGAUGUGUUUAUGCAUUAUCAAUGCACAACCAACUUGCAAAUAACAAACCAUAUAUCUAGGUUUUAAGACUAUAUGAUAUUAUCGUCUUGCAAUCACUCGUGAUAAAUUCCAUGAAGUGAUACCAGCAAGCGUCGGUCUAAUCCAAUGCUCAAAUCGUAUUCAUAAGCACUCACGAACGUUGCAACAAACCUUUGCUAUGUCUAAUACACUUUAGACAAUCUACAAAGCAAUUCAUGACAAUAUUCUUUCAUACCUACUCCCAAAGUAUGAGCGACUGUGGAACGUUCUAAUAAUCUUAUUAUUCAGGAAGUCAAAACAUGCAAAUUGAAACAACAGGUAAACAAUUAACAUAAGACAGUAACUUUACUUAUAAAUAAUACUCCUUUAUUUAGUCAUCAAAUGUCAAUUACAUUUAUCUAUUACACGUUUCGAAGCUAUUUAAUCUAAACUAAUAUUGUCCUUCAGCCCGAUGCUCCUAGCGUGCUGCAAGUGCUUAACCCUAAUCAAUCCUUUCGUAAGGGGAUUUGUUGGGUUAUCCUCCGAUGAUACCCUCUUCACUACAAGGAGUCCUUCUUCCACCUGAUGUCGAAUAAAAUGAUAUAUCCUGUCGAUAUAUUGAGAUCUGCCAUGAUCCCUCGGUUCCAUGGUCAAGGUAACCGCUCCUUCAUUAUCACAGAAAAUUUGCAUAGGCUCCUUUAAAGCUGGCACAACUCCAAGGUCUCCGAUGAAGUUCUUCAACCAUAUCUCCACCUUUGACGCUUCGCUCCCCGCUAUAUACUAUGAUCCGCAUGUUGAAUAAGCUACAGUUUCUUGCUUGGAACUUUUCCAAGUCACUUCUCCUCCAUUUAGGGUAAAGACCUAGCCCGACUGUGAACGGUAGUUGUCCCUGUCGGUCUGAAAAUUCUCGACACUAUACCCUCGUACCCUUAAUUCAUCACUCCCACCGAGGACUAGAAAUUCCUUGGUCCUUUGAAGGUACUUAAAAAUAUUCUUGACUACGAUCCAUUGUGCUUUGCCAGGGUUCCCUUGAUAUCUGCUGACCAUGCUCAAAGAAAAGGCAACAUCAGGGAUAUUACAAGUCAUAGCAUACAUGAUCGAGCCAACUGUAGAAGCGUAAGGUACUCGAGUCAUCUCUACUAUCUCUACUUCGGUACUCGGACUUUCAAUCUUACUCAACUGGGCAUUACUUUGGAUUGGUAACCCCCCUUCUUAGAAUUAUCCAUCCUAAAACGCUUUAGUACCUUGUCCAAGUAAGUAUUCUGACGAAGUCCUAUUAGUCUUUUACUUAUGUUUCUCACUAUCCAUAUUCCCAAAAUAUAGGCAGCCUCUCCGAGGUCCUUCAUAGUGAAACACUUCCCAAGCCAAGACUUGACUUCCUGCAGUGUUGGGAUGUCGUUUCCUAUGAGUAGUAUGUCAUCGACAUAUAAUACGAGGAAGCUAACAGUACUCCCACUGGCUUUGACAUAUACACAUGAUUCAUCCUUGCUUCGUAGAAAACCAAACUCUUUAACUUUCUCAUCGAAACAAAGAUUCCAUCUGCAAGAUGAUUGUUUCAAUCCAUAAAUGGACUUCUCAAGCUUACACACUCUAUUAGGAUGCUUUGCAUCGACAAAACCCUCUGGAUGACUCAUGUAAACAUCCUCAGCCAACUUCCCAUUAAGGAAAGUGGUUUUGACAUCCAUCUGCCAUAUCUCAUAAUCAUGAAAUGCAACGAUGGCUAGCAUCACCCUAAUAGACUUUAUCUUCACAACCGAUGAGAAAGUCUCAUCAUAGUCAACUCCGAGAGUUUGAGUAAAGCCCUUCGCAACCAAUCGUGCCUUAUAGGUGUGUACGUUCCAAUCCAUGUCGGUCUUCUUCAUAAAUAUCCAUUUGCACCUGAUCGUCUUACGACCUAGCACAUUGUCAACCAAAUUCCAAACUUGGUUGUCAUACAUGGACUGAAUCUCGUUGUUCAUAGCCUCUUUCCAUUUCGUAGACUCCGGGACCGCUAUGGCUUCCUUGUAGCUAUUCGGUUCAUCCAAAUUUAUUAGUGUACUAUCACUAAUAAAUGUAUCACCCUCACUCAUUAUAUGAAAACCAUACAAUACGGGCGGAACACUAACUCUACUGUAACGUCUAAGAGGUAAGGAUUCGUCAAUCGGUUCAAGCAGAGUUUCCUCCUCGGGUUGAGCGCCAGUGUUAGAGGUUCCUUCAUCGCUCGACUCUUGAAUCUCUUCAAGAUCAAUUUGCCUCCCACUUUCCCCUUCGCUUCUGAGUUUUCGCUCUCAGAAAACCCCUUUCCUCGCAACAAUGACAACAUUGUUAUUCGGUCUAUAGAAGAGAUAUCCAAAGGACUUCUGCGGGUAGACGAUGGAAAUACAUCCCUCACUACGAGGUUCGAGCUUGUGGUGAGCCUCUCGUCUUACAAAAGCCUCGCAACCCCAAACCUUGAUGUGUACCAACGAGGGAUUUUGUAAUACGAAAGAUAAGGAGUUUGUGAGUGCAUGUGGUUGAACCUAUAUGUAUUUCGAUCGUUCAUGUAAAGAAUAGAAGUAUGUUCUCGAGGGUUUGACCUACAUCCCUAUAAUGCAAUCCUAUUAAAGAGUAGAAGUAUGUUCGUAGAAUGAUCUCAAAACGUUUGUCGUCCAAACCGAGGGUACCAUUGGUUGGUGAAUAACAUGAUCCAACCUUUGAAAGCAGAUUGGGAAUGAUCCCUGAGCUAUAUUACCCUAGUCCAAUAACUUGACUAGAGUGGGUUUCAGAUAGACUCCAACGAUAGUAUGAUGAAAGUAUAUGAACAAAGAAUGCCAAAGAAGUUAGCCGACUGUCAAUAUCAUUGAUACUCAUGACGUAAUAAGUUUGGGAAAAAAUGACCUUGGAGUAGGUCUUACAUCAUAUCCAGAGUAGAAAAGUUUUGGCCGCAUAAAGGCCUAACUAAAAGUACCUACAGUACAAGAUAGUUACAUAGAAAUAUGCCACAUAGGACAUAGUCAGGAAAACGAUCCUUUGAAACAAUGGAAGAAAGUAAAGCAUCUCCUACUGGUGACGGUCACCCCUAUGGUGAACCCUUAGUUCAACUAGUUGACAUUCCAUAUCAAGCAGGUGUCUUUCGUACACCCUCUGGCGUACUCGGAGCUCUAUGACUUCGGCUCGUGCUUCAUCUAGUGCUUGUAGUAGGGUCUCAUGUUCUCUAUCAGAUCUUUCAUGAGUGUGUUCAAGGCGAUUGGUGCGGAUGGUAUGCAUUCUUUCAUGGGCAUCAACCUCUACGAUACGAUGGAGAGCUAUCCUGCCCUGAAUCUCGUUUCGGGAUACUCUACGGACCAGAACUGGUAGAAUUUUGUUUGCUGAGCUUCCUUCGCUUAUGUUGUAGAAGCUUCGGUCUCCAUUAAACGACAUAGGUUGAUCUUUCUCUUCGCUCCAUGUCUCCAAACAUUCUACCCAAGGAGGCGUCGGACCAAGAAAAGUCGGACGAGGGUUAGGAUUUUGAAUGGGAGCUUCCGGGGUAGGUUCUCAACUUCGGGUUCGAAGUUAGCAUCAUCUGAAAGGUCUUCAGCAUGGUGAUCAUUCAAAGGGAUUGGAUGAUCAUCCUCUGGUUCUUCUCCAAACCAUCCAGCAUUGCCUUCGUUCGGAGGUACGGGUCGUUGUAGGGAUGGAGUCCACCCAUGUUAUCUACGCGAGAAUUGGGGUGUUGAAAUAAUUAUUUUUUAAACUAACUAGAUAAUUAUUAGAUAAUCUUCAUUAGUUAACUCCCUACUUGUAAAUUGCAUACCAGUUAUAUGUAAUCAAAACAGGAUAGGUCUUCGAAUAAGUGACCUUAACUCGAAAUUCACAAGGAACAGGGGUAAAACAAAAAUUCACAGAUUCUAAGUCUAUGACAUCCUAGUUACAUAUAACCUUAGUGUAUCCACUUAGCAACUAUUGACCUCAUAAUGAAGAUCUUUUUAGUUCUCAAGUAAGUAAUUAUAGUAACACAAAAUACUCCUAUAGUAUCUUAGACUUAUGUUAUGUUCUAAUGUUCUCAUUGUGGUAGUGUUGGUAAGUUUUAGACUUGUUGCCACAUCACAACCAUUCUUGGGCAUACGCUAAUCACUCCUCGGACUAGCAUAGUUGAUCAGGCUAUGCCACUCCCAAGACUGACCAUACAUCCCCGAGCUUACUUGUGAUAUUCAAAAAUCGUAAUACUUUUGGUCUUGUCAUUGUGACACUGAUUUUAGUAUGAAUACAAGUAUGUAUACUUAGUUAAAUAUUUUAUUAUUUAAAAGUAUAUACUCUUGGUCAGAGUAUAUUAAUCCCAUUGUAUUUAUAGUUAGUAUAUCUUUUAUGGGUUGAUAUACUUAAUUCACUAUAAACAAUGCUCUGAUACCAAUCUGUCACACCCCAAAACCAAGAACGGCGGAAACGUUCUGGGGCGGAGGACGUCAUGUAAAGUAUCACAACAAUGCAAAGUAGUAAACAAGCAACAACAUCAUCCAUUUCAUUAAUAGUAUAAUUUUAAUUACAAGUGUGUUCUUUCAUAGUAUAAAACAACAUAAUGAAUAAUCAAAAUAAAAGUCGGGUCUUGAAUACUCCGUCUUCGCAAAAGCUGGUCGUCGUACCUGUCUAUUUGUGACCUGAGAAUACAAGUUAUUUUGAAAGCAUGUAUCAACAAUAAAGUUGGUGAAUUCAUAAGUAUUUAUGUGUCUUUGACUUGUAAAACUGUAAAAGAAAGACUUUUAAAUGUUCGAAGAAAAGUUUGUAUAAGUAUGAAAAUGUUUGUAAGUAAUUGUAAACGUUUGAAAACCCUAGAAAAUCCCAUAUUUCCUACUAGUAUAAAAAGUAGUCUUCUACCAAGACCCGACUGUUUUGAAAGUAGCCUUCUACCAAGACCCAACUGUUUUGAAAGUAGCCUUCUACCAAGACCAGACUCUUUUGAAAAUAUCGUUCUACAGCUAUUAUUAUUCAAGUCUAAUAUACCUCAUCGAUUAUGUGAAUGUGACACAAAGUAAAGGUAAUAAGGAAAAUAAUAUAAUAAGUGGAAUUGAAUCCUCUUGUAUUUUUCGUAUGUAAAGUGUAAGUACUGUAGUAUUUGUAAUAAGUGGCUACUAUUGUACUGAUUGCCUUAAAAUGAGUAUUAAGGUAUAAUGUGAUGGCUAGAUCCAAUACUAAAUGCUCUCCCUGUCAAAAGAUUCUGUGAACCAAACGUGACCCCUGCAAUGUUGCAAGUCGUGAACAUCCACAUUAUUAUGAUCAUGUAUACCCAAUAUAACUACCACCUUUUGUUUAGAACAAUGCGUUAGUGAUUCAUUGGUAUAGUCAGAUCUUGUAAUUGUUCCAUGUUAUAGCACCUUGUCGUGUAUUGUAUCUUCCUCCCUAUUUCUCUUUAUUGUGUGUUCUCUUAUGUUAUCGUGUAUUGUAUCUAUGAAAUAGUAUCUCUGUAAUAGUAUCUAUGUAAUAGUAUGUAAUAUAAUCUCUUAAUAUAGUAUGUAAUGUAUUAGUAUGUCUGUAAUUGUACUUUUGUAAUUGUAUCUCUUCAUAUAGUAUGUAAUGUAUUAGUAUAGACUCAUGAAUGAACUGACUCCUGUGUGAUUCUUUGUACUUGGAAUAGUAAGUAGUAUCUCCUAACUAUACCUAUUAUAGUUACUAGUAAUGUACGUGUAUAAUCGAAAGUAUGCCUUUGCUACCCAAAGGUACUGAACUAACUGAUGGAACUUUUAUGUCUAUAUAUGUAUACAUAAUAUAUAACUAAUAUUUAGACGACAUGCGGACGAAUAACCGAUACCCUAAGGCCACAUCCCAACGAGGAAAAGGAAAUAAAGUGAGCUAGCCAUCCUAUGUCCUUUAAACAUUACUUAUAUAACUAUACAUAUAUAGGCAUGCAUUUGACAAUAAAAAAGUAUAAAAGAUGUUUUGUAAAACNGAGCUAGCCGUCCUAAGUCCUUUAAACAUUACUUGUAUAACUAUACAUAUAUAGGCAUGCAUUUGACAAUAUAAAAGUAUAAAAGAAGUUUUGUAAAACCUUUAAAAAGUUUAAUAACUAAGAAAUGAUGACUUUAUGUCAGUUUGUAAAACGAUAUGAAAGGAGUUUGUUUGAUAAGAACAGUUUUAAGUAUAAGGAAACCUUUGUUUGAAACACAAUUGUAACAGAGUUUGAAAGGAAACAUACAGUAUGUAAGACAAUUUGAUAAAGAGUUUUAAACAUGUAAAAACGUUUGAGAAAGCCAUUUGAAGUAAGCUGUUUGGUAAAACAGCUAAAAGUGUAGUAAAUCCAUUUGCAUGCUAGUUAUUAAUCACAUGUGAUUGAUGUACUAACUAGCAUGAUUCAACUUGUAUUCCCCCCAAAAAAGCAUUUAUAAACAUUUAGAAACAUUUAAAGGUUAAUUAAGGGGUAUGAACUCAAGUGAUGUGAGUGGAUUGUAUGGAAGUGUCGGACAAGUGCUUGGUGUCAAGUGAAGACUUAAACACACACAAUGAUCUUAAUAACAUAUAAAGACAUACGUAUAUAUAUAUAUAUAUAUAUAUAUAUAUAUACAAUUAGUGAUUAUAACACUAAUUAGACAAGUAUAAACAUUCUAAGGCGUGGAAAACACUUUAGUCAAAGUGUUACGAGGCCAUUGGGUUGCAACAAAAGAUUGCAAGGCGUCGUAUUUGACUUUAUGGUCCAUGGACCAUACUUAUUGGAGUUUACGGCCCAGGGGAGUUUACUCCUGGCCGUAAACUCUCUAAUGGGUCACCAUUUGUGGCUUAAAGGUUAGAAGUCUUAAGUGGUUAAGUACUCCAAGGCUUAAACAAGAGGCUAGGUGAGUUUAAGGUCCAAGAAUGACCCUAACUUGUGUUUACGGCCUGGGGACCACUUCCCCACGCGUUUACGGCCAUAAACUCAUGGUGGGAAGUACCAUUUCGUUUCUUGAAGUCCCUAGUUCAAUGGUGAUUGGUUCUAUGUUAAGAUCUAGUUAAUUGGAAGAAGGAAAGGGCAUCAUUGCACCCUUAUAGGGAGUUUAUGGUCUUGGGAGAUCCUUGGCCGUAAAAUCUCAUUCAACCCUCUAUUCCUCAUGAUUCUAAGCUCUAAACAUGUUAAACCUAAUGUACAACGAGUUAGAACAAGAGUACUUACGAUCUAGGAGUUGGAAUGGUCGGUUUUGGCCAAUAACCCUAGUGUGUGUUCUUGGUGAAACUUGAAGAUCAACAAAAUGGAAUCAUUUCAGGGAUGAAAUCAUGUAAGAUCACUAGUGCACGUAAGAUAUCAACUAGUUAGGACAAUAAACUUACAAGUUUUGAAGAUCGGGGACGAAGAUCCCGAUGAUACUUGAGAGAAAACUGAAGUUCUUGGGUUUGAGAAGUGAGAAAAUGGCUAGAAAUGAUCAAAAUUCAUAUAUAUAUAUAUAUAUAUAUAUAUAUAUAUAUAUAUAUAUGUGUGGUAGGGAGUUUCAAGUCANACCCUCUUGAGUUUAUGGCCGUAAACUCCAUCUCAUGGAGUUUAGGGCAUAAAUUUCAGUGCUGAGGCUUUAGCAGUUACUUUCCAACACUUAUUCCUUAAGUGUACAAGGCUUAGAACUCUCAAAUAGACUCCAAAUUGUGCUAAAUGAUAGCAGGAAUGAGUUUGACACUUUCAAUGAAGUAUUUGACUGUAUGAGAUAGAAAAUUUCGGGUUGUCACAUGGUAGGUUAUGCAGAACUGGUUAUAACAGGGAGGCAAGGAGUGAAGGAUGAUGUCAAUUGCUAGCUCUUCAUUAAAGUUAACAUUUAACUUUAGCAAGCGAUCAACAUAUCUCUACAUCUUUUGCAGAUGAGCAUUAAGGGACACUCCAUUGCCCAUUUUGGCAGUGAUCAUCGAAGUGAUGAUCUCGUACCUUUCUUGCCUAGAAGUUUGGUGGUAUCGGUCUAGUAGAUCUUGAUGCAUCUCAUAUGAAUACAUGUCCUCAUAGGAGUUCUGCAGUCAUAGUCGCCAGCAUGAUGCAAUGGACUUUCAUAGCAUCAUGCUCAUGGGCCUCAAAGGCAGCGAUUUCUUCAGCAGAGGCAGUGUUGAUGUUGAUUUCCUUCAGCUUCCCAUCGAGGACAUACUCCUUGUCUUCGUAACGAGUGGCCAUUAAGAUGUUACGGAUCCAAUCAUUGAAAUUGGACCCGUCAAACAUCACUCUCCCACACAAGUUCAUGAGUGAGAACGAGCCAGAGGAAGUUGAGCUGAAAGCGUUGUUGUUGACGUUCAACAUCUGAAAAGGAAAAGAAAACAAAGUUUGAUUAGAUAAGAAUCCCCAAUUAAACACCCAAAUGAGAAAUUAGGGCUAGGAUCCUACAACAUUAUUUGCAAUAUAGAAGAAGGAUGUCGUAAUCUAAACAGAAAAUAAUUUGAAGGUAAGUGAAUGACGAUUCACUAAUUUCCACCACGAAAAACAAAUUAAAGCUAUGUUUUAAAUGUAUUGAAAACUCCUAAAUCUUUUGAGAUUCAUUGAACUUUUCAAUGGCAUGUUUAAAUCUCGAUAUGCCCCUCAAGUUUGUGAUUGGGAUGCCGAGGAUCACAAAGCGGGUAUGAAUAACCAUGCAAAUGUACAUGGUGCCCUCAAUGUUACAGUCACCUAUUUGAUGUGCUGGUUAACCACACACACUCCAUCGAACUAUGACAAACAUCGAGUCACCCUUCUCCACCUUUUUUUAGAGCCCAAUUAGUGUGCCGAUUAACCACACACGCUCCACUAACGUCUUAGCAAGGGUAUAAAGUGUAAUUUCAUGGAAUUGCAUCAAUUCACUUUUGCCUAAAGUAACUAAGAUUGGGAAUUUUGUAAAAAAAGAACAUUUAGUUAUUUUAUAAAAUCAUUAUACUUUUAAUGAGGAAAGGGUUGCCAUAUCCUACCCGUUCGGCUAACGACCCUCCACCAAUCAAGGAAGCGGUGGGUGAGAGUGGACACCUAUUAAAUGGUCAUUUUAUAGGCCAUAACCUUAUACCCCCUUUAUAGAUCGGCUUCGUGAAUGAGGCCUACUAACGGUAAGACUACCAUUUAAGUUAUACAUAUAUAAUAAUUAUUCUUAUAAUAUUAUAAGAGUAUAGGGUGAAUUUUAAACUAGUAAAACUCUAGGGUUUGGAAUUUAAUAAUUUCAAACUUAAACUUUUAAUCUAAAAAUUAAAUUUCGAAAUUUGAGGGCAAGUUUUGAAACUUUUCAAAACAUUACUAGAUUAAAUUCGAAAAUUAUUAGAUAAUCACAUUAGUAAUAUUUAUCACAUAAGUUAAUCUUUUCCAUACAAGAUAAUUCAAUUCAAUUUACAAAUGAUUAAUCUUUAUCUUAUAAAGCUAGUAAUUAUCUUAAACUGACAACUAUCCAUUAAUUUGAUUUGGAUAUCAAUCACCAAAAUAGAAAUCUGAUUUUUAAUUUGAAAAAAUAAUUUAUGGUAAUUAUCCAAAGCAAAUCAAAGCAGGAAAUUUGUUAUACAGCAAAUAGUUGUACUCACGUCGUGACCCUCUAUGGUCACGUCGUGAGUUCAAUCAAAAUAGAAAAAUAAAUUUUUAAGAUUUGAACAGUAAACUUGCAUCAAAUACAUUAGAAUGAACAAUAUAAGCUCUGAUACCACUAUUGGGUUAUGAGCAAAACAACAUUCCUAUGGUGUUCAUGCAAACCCUAAUGCUUGGAUCUAGUUUUUCUAAUGAUUCAUGCAUAUUGUCUAAGAAUUGAAAAAACCCUAUUCUAGCAUACAAGAAAAUCUAGUUGAAUAUCAAAUAAACAAAUUAGAUGAAUACCUUGAUUGUUGAUUGUAGAUCUUGAAGCUUUAAGAACCUUAGCACCUCAAAUGUUGUGCCUCUAAUGAUUCACAAACACCAAAAGCAAUUGAAUGAAGCAAGAGAGACAGGGGAGAGGGAAAAUCUGGCUCCAAGACUUCUAGGGUUAGGUGUAGCCGAAUUCUCAUGCCCAAGGGGUCCUUAUAUAGGUGUGGGAAUUAGGGUUUCAGUCAUUAUCGUUAUCUGGUUACUUAGCCACCAAGCAGCCCAUAAGAUAACUCUAUAAUCCCCAUUAUGGACAAAUUCUUAAGGCCUUAUCCUUAGAAUUCGUCCACCCUAUCAUUUAGGGUUUCCUUGCCGAACCUUGUAACUAUCACAUAAUUACAAUUCAGUCCCCUUAGUUCAAUUUCCUUCUUUUGAUCACAAAAUUAAUUCUUAAUUAAUUCUUGACCAAUGUUAAUUAAAUAAAUAUGAUUUCUCUUUUAAUAUAUUAUUCUUAUAAUAUAUUAAUAAAUGUAGGAACCCAUUUUUAUACGAACGGUGGAUGCGGAAGAAUAAUCUUGAGAUUUAUCGUGUAUCAAAAUAUAAAAAUAUGAAGAACAUCAAGAGAAUUCUUAGAAGAUGAGAAAGAAAAGAGAGAUAAUAAUAAUAAUAAUCAUGAAGAACAAUGGUGGGAGAGAAAACUCUCCCUAGGUGGGAGAGAUCCCACCACUUUCUCUCUCUAGAGUUUACAUUUUAUGAAAAGAUGCAUAAUAAGAAAAUGACCACCUCUCUGUUUAUAUAGGAGGGAGAGAUAAAAUACACCAACAAUACAAUAAAGGGAAAAAUACAACCUACUAUCACUCAUUAUUUGUAGAGCAUUUUCAUGCUCUAACAUUCUCUCCCUAAAUGCUUACAAAUGAUGAGAUAUACAAUAAGUGAUACAUGGCUAUAAUACAGUAAUACGACUAGCAAGUGUGGUAAUAAAAUGAAACAUAGUGAGAACCAAAUGUUGAAAUGUCUCUAAAACUCUGAACUGUAUGUGAAGUCUGGAACUGGCCAUGUAUCUCUAAACAAUGAAGGUCUUCGGCUUCAAAGCACAACCAAUGAAGCAGAAAAAAAAAAGAUUCAAAUCUUCAAACCAGUCAUAAUCACCAGAAGAAGAAGGUCACCAUGAGCAAGUAGAAGAUCCAAUAAAAGAAACACUUCGGCUUCAAAAUGUCUGAAAGACAUCUCGAGUUCUUGAAUCAUAAUACACCAAAAUUCUUCAAAGAAUAAUCUGCUAAAAAUGUGAAGCAUCCAUAAAAUGAAGUCCGGAUAAAAAUAAUGUGAGUCCAAAGACAUUGUCCAGCAAUGCCAGAAUUUUGAUCCAAGGAUAAAAAAAUAAGUGUCACGUCACAUCGCCAAAAUAAUCUUCAUCUUUAGCAUAUCACAAAUCCAAACUCAAAAAAUCAUAAGAUCUGAACCAGAUGCAAACACAAAAUCAUCCUGUGGUAGAGUCCGAAUAAUAAUUAAUCUGAAUCGGAAAACAUCGAGUAAUGCCAAAAUUUUGAUCCGUGAAGACCAAAAAUAAGUGACACAUCGCAUCACUAAAUAAAUAAUCAUCUUCAGAAGUCUUCAAAAAUCCAAACUCAAACAAUCAUAAGAACCAAAUCCGGAUGAUAUUCUCUCCCUAUUUUUGAUAACCAAUGACCAUAUAUCAAAAAUCAACACAUCAUCGGAUGGAGAGUGUCGGAUACCAAGAGCUAAGAGAGCUCUCCCUAGAUGCAUGAAGGGUCUCGAUAAGACACGAGACAUAGAGUAAAAUAGAUACUCUGCGGUCAUGAAAAGAUGGGUGAUAUGGUUGCUGAAGCUGCAUGAGCAAAUACCAUAGAACGAAGAAUCACUGCAUGAAAAAUAUUUUUGUUGUGCCGAAACUAUAUCAAUAUACCCAAACUGCAAUGUCGGAACUCUCGUAGUGGUCUUCAAUAGAGAAUAAAGUCCACAAGCUCAAGAUACAUGUUUCAUCAACCAAAAUUCAAGAGCGACAAAUCAUAAAAUCCCAUAAAGUGAAGAAUGUGAAACAACUUUGUUGAUCAAUCGUUGUUGCGGUGCAAACAUCACAAAGAAUGAUAUGAAGUCCGACUUCGGUAGAAGUAUUCUUCCAAAUAACCGGCAUGAAAUGAACCAUUGUAACAAUCCAAGGUUCGGUUGUGGCAAAAAUUGGUGUUAACAAAAAUAAUUGGUUUAAAAAAAAUUGGUUUUAAAAAAAAUUGGCUAAAUAAGAAAUUGGUGUUAAAAAAAUUGGCUGAAUAAUAAAAAAAAUGUCGUUAAAAAAAAUUGGCUGAGAAAAAAAAAUAAAAAUAAUACAAAAAAUGGAUGAAUAAAUAAAAAAAUGAACUUGAAAUAAAAUAAAGGGGGGUUAAUAAAAAGGGGAGGGCUGAUGAGAGGGGAGGAGGAAAGAAGGAAGAAGAGAGGGGAGGAGGAAGGAGGGGAAGAAGGAAGAAGAGAGGGGAGGAGGGAGGAGGAAGAAGAGAAGGGAGGAGGGGAGGGCUGAAGAGAAUCCAAAGUGAAGGAGAAGGUGGGUCUGGGAGGUGACUUCGGAUGGGAAGAAGAUGCGGAUGGAAGUGGGUGCGAUGGUAGGUGGGUGCGGACGAGAGAUGAGUACCGAAGUCUGCGGGUGAAGAAUGAUAGUUGCGGGUCGGACUGCAGUAGUACCAAAGCGAUCUGAUACUGCAGGGGCGGUCCGAACCGAGAAGGAAGCCUGCGGUCCGAACUGCGGGUGAGAGCUUGCGGAUCCGAGGCUGCUGAUCCAAGACUGCGGUCAGAGGGCUAAGAAGGGUGGCUUCGGUCCAAAGUUGAGAAGGGUACAUUGCGGGUAAGAGGGCUUCGAUCUGCAAGUAAAGGGAAGGCUGCGGACAAAGCUUAAGAAGGACAUCAGAUCAAGGGCUAAGAAGGGUUGCGGGGAGGCUUCUUAGGAGGCUCCGGUAGGCAGAUUUUGGUUGCAGUUCGGGGCUCUGAGAAGGGCUGAAUAUAUGACGAAAAAUGCUAUGUUUUCAUGAAAAAUUGUACCGCAAAGGCCAUUUAUUCAUAUUUUAUUGAGGGGAAUAUUUUUUAAGCAUUUUGGGUCAAAAAGUGGUCUUGGGAAGGCAAAAAGAGGAGUGUACAGAGAUUUUUAGCGGACAAAAGGUGAUGGGAUUUGUCAUAGUCAUAUGGUUUUUACUUGGGAAGGCAAAAGUGUGUUGAGUACUCUUUACCCAAAAGAGAAAAAAGGACAAAGUGUUUUAUGCAAACACAUAUUACGUCCAAAAUAUCUUCAAAUCAAAGAUUCACAGCACUAAAAUUAUGAAGAACAAGAACUUCAUACCUUUGAGAAUAAUAGUUGUUGGGUAAAAAUAACUUUAAUAAAGAGAUGUUUUUCUCCACUUUCUUCAAGAAAAUAAGCCCAUUAUUUUUUGUCUUUUCUUCCAAGAUUAAAAGAACCCCCUGGAACAAUUUCUUCAACAAUUUGAGACCACAAAAAUAAUUUCUUCUCCCAUUUUUUCUUCAUUUCUUCAACAGCAAGAUAAUAAGAAUUUCAAGAACAUAAAUUUUAGUAGUGAAUUUGAGUGAGCAGAAACAACAUAAUUAUUCUACGAAGAAAGAAUCACCCCAGAAAAAUAGAAAACUCAUCAGAAAUUUCAGGUUUGAACCCGAAAAUUCUUUCAAAAACACGAAAAACUUCAAGAUAAUCACCAAACGGGGGUCGUUCCCUUGAAAUAAUCGUGAGAUCUUCAAGUACGGCUCUGAUACCAAUUGUAGGAACCCAUUUUUAUACGAACGGUGGAUGCGGAAGAAUAAUCUUGAGAUUUAUCGUGUAUGAAAAUAUAAAAAUAUGAAGAACAUGAUGAGAAUUCUUAGAAGAUGAGAAAGAAAAGAGAGAUAAUAAUAAUAUUCAUGAAGAACAAUGGUGGGAGAGAAAACUCUCCCUAGGCGGGAGAGAUCCCACCACUUUCUCUCUCUAGAGAUUACAUUGUAAGAAAAGAUGCAUAAUAAGAAAAUGACCACCUCUCCCUUUAUAUAGGAGGGAGAGAUAAAAUACACCAACAAUACAAUAAAAGGAAAAAUACAACCUAACUAUCACUCAUUAUUUGUAGAGCAUUUCCAUGCUCCAACAAUAAACCAUAAUAACCUCUUUCUCUAUUAUUCAUCCAGACAAGUUACUUUAGUGAGGGCAACCCAAAAGGAGCAUGCACAAUCGGGUCAAGUACAUACCAGAUAUAGUUAUGGAAUUAGACACUAAUCUAACAAAAACAACACUUAUAAGUCUUCUGGACAUCAUGUUCUCUACAUCAGGUGUGUUGUUGAUCAAAAUAAGUAUAGGGAAAUGAUUGGAUUGCUACCCUACCUCACUACAGGUCGUCUGGACAUCAUGUUCACUACAUGCAUGUGUGCUAGAUUCUAGGUUAAUACAAAGAUGUCUCAUAUACUAGCUGUCAAGCAGAUUUUCUGAUAUCACAAAGGGACAAAGAACCUCGGAAUAUGGUACCCGACAAAUGAAAUUUUCUUUCUUCGUCCAUAUUCCGACUCAAACUAUGGAGGUCUUCAACUAGACCGAGAGAGUAAUUUAGGAGGUUGUCAAUUUUUAGGUGGAAGAUUGGUUAGCUGGUCAUUGAAGGAACAAAAUUGUAUUUCUCUCUUAACAACCAAAGCAGAACACAUCACUGCUACAAGCUGCACUUCGCAAGUUCCUUGGAUGAAAUCUCAGCUUCUGGACUAUGGUUAUCGAUUUUAACAGAUUCCAAUCUAUUGUGACUCUCAAAGUGCAGUUGUGAUUUCUCAUAAUCCAAUCCAGCACUCCAUGACUAAACACAUUGAUAUUCGAUAUCAUUUCAUUAAAGAUCAUGUUUUAAAAGGAAACAACAAAAUCAUUUUGGUUCCAUCUGAUGAUGAAAUUGCUGAUGUCUUUACUAAGGCAUUAGACAAAACCAAAGUUAAUGGAUUCUUGAACAAAAUGUGAAUGAUGAUGCAUGAUCCACAAUUCUUCCAAGAGGUUUGUACUCUCUAAUGGAAACAUUAGAAAGUAAAUAAUUCUAAAGUCAAAUUUGUUUCUCCUCGGAAUCGUUUCCUCUAGGAAAAUAUAGGAUCAUCAUAUAUAUCUUUUUUUCUAACCUCUUCUUCUUGUUUUUAAGUUGUUCAGCCUUUCUCAUCUCUUAAAUUUCUGACCGAUAUUGUUACAUUGAAGUACUUACAAUCCUUCCACCUCAGAGUUUAUUUUAAAACAGCAUGUGUUAUGAAGUUCAUCUUAGAAUUCAAAUCCGAAAUGGCAAUGUGAAUUCAUCUCUAAUCUUCUUCCGAGCUUUGUUCCUUCAUUUCUCAUAAUCUCAAAUCUUUUGAAACUGGUCCUCUAAGAUCUUCAUGCCUUUUAACCUCUGACAUUCAUUUUUAGUAUGUGCCAUCUCAAGCUUUAUAUUACAUACUAAUGUUGAGUUUAUGUUCUUUCUGAAGUAUCUUAUGACAUCUCAUCUCGGAAUCCGAUUAUUCUGAGAUCCUCGCAAUCAAAGAACUUUAAGGUUAUCAGUUAAGUUUUUAUUCUGAAAUGUUUUUCAUUUAUAUAUUAAUGGUAAUUUUUCUUCAGGAUUAUUUUUUUAAUUCUCAAUAAAACUACUUUGUAACACGUUCCAAUAAAGUGCAUUACAGUAUCAUAACUAAAACGACAAUUUUCUCUUUUGGAACAAACAAACAUCCCAUCUUCCGUGUGCUACAGUCGCUUAGGACUUCGUUUUCGGCAAUGCAUUUAAUACAUCCCAUUUCGUGUUCGAGUGUCAUCAUUACUUUCUUCGACCUGACCCGAAAUAUCAAAGCUAUAAAAGGAUUUUGAAUCCUAAUUGUUCCCACUUUUCACUUUUUCUAUCAUCUUCUUAGAGCCUUUCUAUUUGUACUCUAUUCUUCAAGCUCUCAAACAUUCAUCAAUAGUGUCUUCUCAAACUGUUCCUCAAGUUUCCAAAGCUGCAUCAAAGAAAAAAUCUUCAAAGGGUUCCGCCUCAUCUUCAUUCACUAAGAUCAUCCUCAGAGAAACCACUCAAUUGUUCUCACUUGAUCCCAUGGAUUAUGAUGAAUCCAUCUGCAUCGUUAUCGAGUUCAUCUCCCACCAUCCUAUAGCAGUUCCUCUCACCAAAAUUCCUAACCCUAAACUUCCUCUUCGCAAUCUUCAUAAAGCCUUUGAACUUAUUAUGAUUAAAGACGAUGUACUGGAGGUGAACAUCACUGAUGACAAAAAUGUUCCUCUCCAUAAGAACAUUUUCCUCAAGGUAAUCAGAAUUGUAGAAAACCCAAAAGGUUUUCGUGUUCAAGAACCCACGACUGAAGAUUUUCAGUCCUUUCUGACUCAAAUUGGGUAUAAUGGGGAAUUCAAGGCAAAAGAGUUCAAGAAUUCUAUUGUUCCUGGCCUUUGGACCGUAUUGAUGCACCUAUUGUUGGAUUAGGUGUUUAAGCCCAUACUAUAAUUGAUAUAUACUUCAAUUGAUAGUAACAUAGUCCUUUCGGGUUGCCCUGAAACCUAGCAACUGUACAUGAAGAUUUUGGAGAGAGAGGUUGAUUUAUUAUAUGAGUAAUAAAUUUAAAUAAUUGAUUUAUUACUAUAUUAUGAAAAUAAUAUAUUUAUUAGAAAUCAUAUUGUUUAAUUAAUAAUUAAUCAGAAAUUAACGAUAAUUAAUUUUGAGAUUAAUUGGAUUAAUUAAAAGUGUAGGGACUAUUUGGUUAUUUAUUGAAAGUAGAGGAAAGAAGCCCAGUAAUGCGUGCAAAUAGCUACACCUAAUUUUAUAUUUAUAACCUAACUAACUUAACUAACUAAAUUGCACCUAGGAAGUGUACCCAGUCAAAUUAUAGAAUAGUUUGAGUAAGUCAGGUGUCGAUCACAGGGAACGGUGUUACUAAUUAAUCUAUUUACUACUAAAUUAACCUAAUUAUUAACAAAGAAAAGAGAUUUAUCUAAUUUUGCAACUUUAGAUGAACUUAAUUCUUUAACACAGAUUCAAUCAGAAACAAAACACUUCUGUUAGUUCGGAUCCAAUUUCCCUCAAUGGUUUAUAAAUUAGCUAUGACAAAUACUAUUGGUAACAAUUAAGAUAGUAAUAGCAAUUAAGUUCUAAAUCUACUAACAUUAAUUAAUUCAUGUAGUCUAUGUAUGGUCACACAAUAGUUAACACAGAAUCAGUUAUUGAAUAAGAUUGGAGCCAUGUAAGAUUGAUUCGGAAAACACACUUAUGGUCAUAAUAUGAGUUCUCUAGCACAGCUUAAUUCACUGAUCCAAUUACAUAUCUAAGAUUGGUUUGAUCUUAGCUCUAAUAAACUAGUGUUCACUGAAUUAUUAGGUAUUCAAAUUCACGCAUAUUUGUAUUCACUAACUACACAGAACAAGAAUUUAAAGCAAUUAAAUAUUAAAUUAAACAUUCUAGGUAAAAUCAAUCAACACAAGCACAUUACCAACAAGUAAAGUCAAAUCUAAUGCAUUAAAACCAUGAGUUCCAGCUCCAUCUAGUUAGUAGAAUCAGUUGGAUUUAGUUGGACAUAUUAGCAAAUAAACAAGCACAAGUUAUAUUCAAAGACAUGUUUAAAAGUACCAAACUAUGAAUCAAAUUAUGAACUUCUUCUUCCUUGGUGUUAAAACCGAGUUCCAAGCCUUCUUUUCCUCUUAUUUUUUACUUCUGGAACCUCUCUAAGCCAGCCAAAACUCUUCCAAUUCGUAAUGGACAAGGAUAUAUGUAUUUUCUAAUUUUUCCACGUUCACAUUGUGAGAAAUGUCUCACGUCGUCAAUACAAGAUAUACGUGUUCAACAAGGACUCUUCCUUCGGGUGCCUAUCUUCUAGAAUACUCCAACUCACGUCGUGAAUCUAGAUACCUCACGACGUGAAUAUAGCAGAUUUCGUGGGUUUCUUCUUUAUUCAUUCUCCAAGCCUCCAAAGUUCUAUGUUUUGACAAUUUUAGUCCCUUUCUUCAAAAAUGCUUCUAUUUUGCUGCAGAAUAUAAAUAAGCUUAUAAGUACCAUUAUUCUAUGCUAAUAACCAAAAUAUUAAUAAAACUAUAAAUAAAUAUUGCCUAAAAACAUCUAUAAAUAUGGCAAUAUCAAAAUACCCCACACUUAUAUUUUGCUUGCCGUCAAGCAAAUUUAACUAUUUUUCAUUCAAAACUUCAUCACCAACAUCACAUAAAACGGUCCAACUCAAACUCAGCCAUUAUGCCAAGACCUCAACGCCUGCAUUUGUGUCUAAAAUUUUCCUAAAGACCCCUCUCAAGUCUAAAUACUUACAAUCCUCAUAAACACGCACCCACUUUUUUUGAAGAAUGCUCAUUUUAUGAAUCCCUCUGAAUCCAUCCGCAGAAAACUUUCUAACCUCAAGGUAUUUUUGUAAAGCUACCCAAGCAUACAUAAACUAGAGAAUUACAACUUUAAGAUACCACAAUAUGGAGCUCUUGAAUUCUUUACUCUCUUUGAAAUUUGAUCUUCAAUUUCUUUGAAUUCACCACCUUUUUGUGAGAUUUUUUUUGUUUUGUAUCUUCAACUUUUUAUUUUUCAGAAUUUUUGAUCUUCGAUCUUCAAACUUUAUACUUUGAUUGCUCCAAAAUUCUUCAACUUUUCUUGUAAUUUUCUCUCUCUUUUUUUUACAUGUACUCACUUUUUUCACUCAGAACCUACAUGCUUAAGCAGGGGCGCUUAACUUCAACCCCUAUUGGUUAAGAUAUUAGUCUAUGUGCAAUGACUAUAUAAGUUUUCCUGGAUACAUUUCAAGUACAUGCUACUAAACAUAUUGCAUCCCUCAAACUAAGCGAGGUUGUGUUUUUGUCCCAUGAUUUCACUAGAAUAAAGGGGGGCACAAAUGCAUUAUAACGUAUAUUGGCUCAACUAAACAUUUGAGCUCUCAUCGGAUCACCCCAUGCAACACUAGCAACUUAAGUUUAAACUAUCAUUAUUACUAGAUAAAUUAUUAGAUUAUUCUUUCAAACCUAAAUACUCUAAAAAAUUAAAUUUUCUAGCAAUUUACUUUUGACUUCUUCGACCCCCUUUACCCCACACUUAUUACAUACAAUGGCCUCAUUGUAUGCAUAAAAUAAAUUAAAAGCGAUAAAAUGGAGAAAAAUGAACAGAUUCCCCUGUGAUAUUAGUGGCGGGAUUGAACUCCAAUCGUGCGGAUAAAAUGUGCAUUUCGAAUAUGGUCUUCUUCUAAAUAGGAACUUGGAUCUUGAUCAUUGCGAGAUAUAUAAAGCGCCAAUAAAAUAUGGAAUCUAAACUUCAAUCUUUAACAAAGGUGGUGUAAAUCUCCAAGCAAGAAGAAUAAUGUGGGAAAGCAUACGCCACAUUAUAUAGUGGAGGAAACGAGCAAUAAAUGUCGUGAUGAUAACUCCAAAAAGAAUGGUGGUGACGCAUGUAGAAAAGGCGAAUAAAAAGGCUUCAUUUUUGUGAGAAUACAAUACUCACAACAUGAGACAUAUAGUUCAUGACGUGAAGUCGUUAAAUCAUGAAUUCUGAACCCCUUCGUAAAGGAGCUCACGACGUGAGGCAUAAAUCUCAACGACGUGAGAACUGGGUGAACUGACAUAGUCCAGCUCCUCUUCUAAAAUUAUGCACUCCAACCAAUGUCUUAAUGAAUUAAGACUCUUCUAAAUGCAGUAUUUGAUGAGUCUUCUCUUGACUAACCCCACACUUAUUUCCAAUUAUGGGUCUCGAUUUCUCGACACUAGCCUCUAAACGACACUUGCCUAGACAUAUACGCUCUUAUCUCGAAUUUCCUUCCCGGGACUCCCUUAGCAAAUCUGAAAUUUAACAACCAAAGGAAAAAUAGAAGUAACAUAAUAACAUAACAAGAGUUUAACAAUCCAAACAAGUUCAAAAAACACACAAACCAAAUUAAACUAUAAACUAAAUAAUCAAAAUAAAAACGAUCAAUCAUCUUCUUCAUCGUUAUGAGUUCCACUUGUUCCUGCUCCAUCGCUUCUUGGUAUCCAAAGCUCUUCCCACGACGGGAUAUACGGGCACUAAGGUGGCAUGGUGGGUGGUCGCACCACAUUCAUAUGAUAGAACAUGGUUUCAAGCAUUUUAAUGGUGUAAGUCAUCCCACCGCGAAGAUUAUCUAAAUAAGAAUCAACCUGACUUUGAAACGGGUCGGUGGGUACUCCACCCGCAUAUUGUUGCUCCGCUCUACGAUAUCUCUCCAUGUCUCCUCAGGAUCUCACAUUUCGCCUUCCUCUUGGCCUCGAUUGCGGCGGUUGCUAAGGGUUGGUCGCUCGGUUGCUCAUCAUCAUCAUUAUCAUUCACAAUCCCCCAAUGUGUUCCAUAAUUCCUCACUACCUUCAUCAUCUCCAAAUAUCCCAUAGUAAACUCGUUCCCCUCCAUACAAGUCAAAGAGUGGGUGAUGUCGGGAAAGAUCAAACCAUAAGACCGGGCCAAAUGUCUGAUAAAGUGGCCUCCACAAAUAGGGCUCCCGGGGCGGGAACUCGUAGGAUAUUCCGCCAAAUAGCGGGCCAAGAAGUAUGGAACGUUGCAGCACACUCCCGGCUGUAAAAUCGACUAUAAAAAGAACAAGUUUAUCAUGGUGACCUUAUCCCCAUGGCGUUUGUGGUGAAUAGAAAAUGUGAUAAGACGAUGGAUAAGGUGGUGAAUUGGCGACUUAAUAUUGCUUUCCGGCGACACACCGGAAUUGAACACUCCAGAUGCAAUGUUGCUCCAAAAUUUGAGUCUCGAUGCACCAUUCUCGUAUCUACGGGCAUCCUCCCUCAAAAACAUAACAAACUCAUGAGUCAUAGUCUCAUAGGUCUCAUAUAACUCCAUCCUCCAAGGAAAAUCGACCAAACUACAUUCUCGAUAUUCUCCCCCGAGACAAAAAACCAAGGCUUGCUGGAAAGUAGGAUCCUUGAGAUUCUCAUGGAAUGCCACAUUCGAAAAGAAUUCCACACAAAGCUCCUUGUACACCCUCUCCUGGAUAGAAAACAAAUUAUGCCACCCCUUGCAUGUAAAAGAAAUUCAUUCCCCAAAAAUAACUUUCUAAGAUACUGGGAAAUCUGAUCAACAAGCCUGACCUCCCUCAUUCUUGCCCAAUUAAUGGUAGGGGCAACAGCAAUUUCCCAGUUGUACAACCAUCCUAACCGGUUGUUCCAACGCGUAAGAACAUCUCGUGACCCAGUUGUCGGGAAUACGUAGAACGGAUGCAAACUAGCCACCUCGGUUGGACCCUCGCGUUUAGGAGCCAUUUUUGCAAAACAAGAGACAACAAAAACCAACCAAGAAAGAUCCAACAUAUUAGAAUUAACCACAAGCCGAUUUAGGCACGCCCAGAAUUCACAUCGUGAAUUCCUAGGAAUUCACGUUGUGAGUUCAUCCAUAGAUGUCAAAAUCAAUCAAUGCAGUGUGUGAAUCGGGCCAAAAUAAUAGUUGCGGUUUUAUGCUAGAACAAUACUGAGUUCAUUCAUCCAACAUCCAGGGUCUAUAACAUGAAUCUUAGGGAACAUAUGAACAAUUUACUAAAUAGCAAACCCUAGCCCUAAAUUCAACUAAUAAAGCAAAAUUAGUUACUAAAAACAAGAAAGUAAUACCUUAAGAUGGAGUUUACGUAAGCAAAAAUGGAGUAAGGGGUAGUGGUCGGCCGCAAUCGGAACAAAGGGGGACCAGGAACCAUUCUCACUUCGUGGGGAUUAAGAAAUGAAUUAGGUCAAAGUUUUUCUGUCCCUUAAUUGUGGACCCGUGUUUUUCAAAAUUCAAGUCGUGAAUCCCUAAAGCUUCACGUCGUGAGUUCGUGUUGGGUUAUGUAGUUGGGCCAUCUCAUUAAUCAUCAAAUGGACUUAAUUGGUUAUUGGUCUAACAGAAAAAAAUAGCUUAUAAAUGUGCUAAGAAUAAAUGUUGGGCAAAUAUAAUUAUCAUACUAAAAUAUUAUGUAUCCCAUGUCUGUAUGGACUCACGUCGUGAGCCAUAAGUGCUCACGUCGUGAGUGUGGUCUGGUCAGAUAAUUUUCUAUGAAAUCAAUCUUCAUGUUUACUUAAAACCAUAAUUAAUUACCACUUAAUACAGGGACCCCACAUUUAAUGUUUUACUAUUCAAAAUUAUUAUAGGAUAAGACGAUUAAUAUUCCUAAAAAGUAAAAAUUCCAAAAACGAAAACGAAAAGAAAAGAAAAUUCAAACCGAGCUCGGGUUGCCUCCCGAAAGCGCUUCUUUUUUAAUGGAUUCCUGAGCCAGACUUCGUUCCUCCUACGUUGAGCUGUCAGAGGAGUCCAUCACCACUUGAAUUUUUUGUUCUUUCCAUCGCCACUUGUAAGCUUUGACUCGUCGAAUGUACGCCUUUUUCAUAUUCUCUUUUUAGCUUUCACUUCAUCUACAUCAAGCUUGCGUUUGAUCCCUUUAGUCUCCAAUUUUUCUUCACUCUUCAUCUCCAUAGGAAUCUUUUCUUCCUUCACCACUGGACUCGUCUCCUUGGAAGUAGCCUCGUCUUCAUCACUCGAUAAAUCUUCGCUUUCCUCACUCACCAAAUUUGUUGGAGUCUUAUAGGCAAUCACCUCAAAAACAAGUGGAAUGGAUGCUCUUGGUUUGGUGCGUUUGACUUGAUGAAUUUUCUUGAUUUCUUUCUCCAUGAGCUUCUCUAAUUCUUCAAAUUCAUUAUCUUCAUCAAUUUUGAACACCUCACCUUUGACAUCAUCUCCUUGAAAUCCAUCUUGUACUCCAAAAUCUUCCUCAUCAUCGCCAACCCUCAAUAUAAGUUUGGAUUCACGAACAUCAACUAAAGCUCUAGAAGUAUUUAGUAAGGGGCGACCAAGAAUGAUUGGGACAUUAACAUCCUCUUUCAUAUUCAUAACCACAAAGUCAACUGGGAAAACAAAUUUCCCAAUUUUAACCAGGAUGUCUUCUACAAUCCCCCUAGGAUGAGUUACUGAAUGAUUGGCCAUGUAAAUGGUCAUCUUUGUAGCCUUCAUCUUAUGAAUAUUUAACUUUUGAUAAAAUGAAUUGUUGGAUUAAUGUCUAAGUCCAUAACUAUAUUUGGUAUGUACUUGACUCGACCCGGCAUGGUCCAUUUGGGUUGCACUUCACCGACACAAUUUAUAUGGAUAGUAUUUUGAGAAUAGUAUAUAAAGAUGUCCUUGGUUGGUGAAAUGGGCACUAGUGUGGGUACACUAAGAGGGCUAGCCAAUUUCACUAGAGAAAACCAAUUAUCCAUAUUCUCUAAAGUCUUCCAAGGUGUUUUGGUGAUUUGUGAUUCCAUUUGAGGCUUCCACACUAUUGGGGUUAAGCUCUUAAAGCUUAAAGACAUCAAGCUACACCAAGGUUUAUAGGGUUGGAAAGUUCUUAACUAGUCUUUGUAGUAUAGUUACCUCAUAGUAUGCUAGUUAGGAUUAAAGACUUGGAAAGUUCUUAUUUGCAUGUAUAAUAGAGAAAACAUAGAUCCAAGGUAUUUAGGGUUGCAUGUACACUUAGGAAGUGUUAGAAUGCUCAAAACCCAACAGUGGUAUCAGAGCCACGGGUUGUUUUCUGUUAUAUUGAUGCAAAUAUUUUAUUUUCAAAGUUGAAAAAAAAAAAAAAAAAAAACAUGAAGUUUGUCAAAUUUUAAGAUAAUUACUUGUUCUUGUGAAAAACUAAUUAUUUGUAAAAUUUGAAUAAUUUGCUUUAUGAGUUGAAUUAGGUCAAAUUUAAUAAAAGAUAAAAUAAUAUGAUUAUUUUAUUAGUUUUAAAAGUUUGAUCUAAAGAGUUUUAUUUUUUGAAACCUCCAUAAGUUAUGGAUAUGAAAAGGUUUUAAAAAAAAAAUUGAUUCAAAGUUUUUUUGGAGUUACAAAAUUUGGUGUUAAUGUUUUAAAGGAUUCCAUAACUUAAGAAUAAGUUAUGGAUCACCAAAAGUUUUUUGUGUUACCUUGUUUUAUGAGUGAAUUUAGAUUAAUGAAUAAAAUUAUGUGAUAGUUGGUUUUAAUCCAAAUUAAUCUAAGAAUUGAUUCUAAAAUGUGUUUUUGUAACUUGUCCUCAAGUUAUAUGAAAAGUCACAUUUAAGAAUCAUAAAACUCAUAAAAAUUGGCAAAGGUUACAAAAAUGAAGAGUCUAGUUCUAAUUAAAUGGUUUUAUGACUCCAUAACUUGUCCUCAAGUUAUGGAGGACCAAGAGUCUCUUCAUUUAAUAAAAUAAAAAAAAAAAAAAAAAGGUGUAACCUUAAUUAAUUCCAUAAGUUAUAAAAUAAAGAAAAGUUAAUUCUUUUAUUAGUUUAAAGUCUUCCAUAACUUGUCCUCAAGUUAUGGAACUUGAAGAGUUUUUGGAUUAAAACUACUUUAAACACAUAAGUUAUGGAAUUAAUUAGUUUUGAAUAGUUUCAAAACUUGCCCUCAAGUUUUGGAAUUUGUAAAGUUUUCACUUAUGAAUACUUUAAUUCCAAGUUAGCCCUUAGAAUUUUAAAAGUUAAAAUUCAACCCUUAUACUUUAUAAUAUUAUAAGUUAAUAAUAUAUAUAUGUAUAAGAGUAAAGUCAGUCUUACCGCUAGUACGCCUCAUUCACGAAGCCGGUCUAUAAGGUGGGUAUAAGGUUGUUGCCUAUAAAAUGGCAACUUAAUGGGUGUCCACUCUCACCCACCGCUUCCUUGACUGGUGGAGGGUCGUUAGCCGAACGGGUUUGACAGGACUAUAAUUCUCCCUUCAUUAAAAGUAUUAAUGAUAAAUACUAAGUAACUAAACUCUUAAUAAUACCCAAUCUUAGUUACUUAGGAAAAUGUGAAUAAGGUGCUAAUCCAUGAAAUUACACUUUGCACUUUGUUUAAGUCGGUUAGUGGAGCGUGUGUGGUUAACCGGCACACUAACUCGUAUUUAACAAGGUAGGCAAAGGGUAACUUAAUGCUUAUCAUAGUAUCGAUGGAGCGUGUGUGGUUAACCGGCACAUCGAUUGAGGGGUAAACACUUAAGGGUACCAAGUAAUUUGCAUGGUUACUUCACACCUUGUUUUGUGAUCCUCGGCAUCCCAGUCACAAAACCUGAAGGGCACACUCGAGAUUGAAACAUGCCAUUGAAAGUUCAAUGAAUCUCAAAGAUCUAGGAAUUUCAAAUCCAAUUAAAACCUAAUUAAUUAUUUCGUUUUUCAUGGUGGAAAUUGGUGAAUCGUCAUUCACCUACCUUCAAAUAUUCUAUAGCUUGGAUUACGGCAUCCCUCUUCCAAGUUAUAAAAUAGUUUGUUGGGUCCUAGCCUUAAUAUUUCAUAUUGCGUGUUAUAUUAAGGACUUUAAAUCAACUAUCUUGAAUAUCUUCAAAAAGAUGUCAAGUUCAGACAUAUAUGAUCUUCCCAAAUAUUUUGGAACUUCACUUCCUCCACCUCCUCCAAUUAUUCUCCCUAACCCACAAGUUCAAGGUCACUCAAGCCCUAUUGGCAAGGCAAGGUCUAGGUGUGAUCACAUCUUGGAGAUGAAGUCACAUAUUGACAAGCCGGGAGAGUUGGGUGUCAAAGUCUUGAGAAAGUUAGUGGUUCAAUCACUUUCUAAGACACAUAGUGAGUUCCUUUGGGACUCCUAUGAGAUAGACUAUGACAAGACCCUUAAUGAUCUUAUCUAUUUGCUUGGUUCUGCUAAAUCAGAAAUGAUUUAGUGUACUAGUAAAGCAAAUUUGAUUAGGAGAUCAACUUCCCAAAACUUUAUGGACAGGGACAAUAGUGACACAGGAAAUCCAGAAAUGCAUUCUCUUCCCAAUGGAAAGGGAUUGGCCAUAGUCAACUUGGUUGACCAAAUGGUAAAGAGAAAGGCUAAGUCUGAGAUAGUCCCAUGUACUAUUACCUAAGGAUCCAUAUAUUUCUAUUGCCAAAGGAAGGGGCUUUGGUUAUGAAGCUGCCAAACUUACCUAAGGAUGAUAAAGUCAAUAAGUUUGACUUUAUUUCAGGUAAAGUCCAUGGUCUAACUCUAUUAAGUUCCUACUUGGAGAUUCUUAUUACAUGAUGUGGCUGGGUCACAUGUU